Molecule: long non-coding RNA, 44171 nt
Filed under: Capsicum annuum
Lineage: Eukaryota; Viridiplantae; Streptophyta; Magnoliopsida; Solanales; Solanaceae
Description: long non-coding RNA (CANN_LNC013501)
Source: RNAcentral
CACACAGAGGUAUUUGCUGAUUGGUACUUUGAUCGAAAAUACACCUAUUUGAUUGAUGAAACUAAUGAGUUGCCACUCACAAAUAAUGCUCGACUCAUAUGGUCAUGGAAAGUUGACAAUGCAACUGCUCGAGUCAUAUACAAUACAACUCUCUAAUGUUCAUGUAAACUGUUUCUCAUAUAUAUAUAUAUACAUAUAUAAAGUUCCCUUUGACAAAAGUACUAAAAAGUUCUGGCCUCCAAUAUUGUGACAUAAGUUUUACUUAUCUAAUUGUUUACUUAUAAACUUAUUAGUUUAUGUAUUUUGCAUUUAUUCCAUCUAACUGUGUAACACCUUAUGUUGGGUUAGAAUUCGAACCGUCAUUCUUAUGUGUAUAGACUCGAACCCAAUAAUUUUUAUGUAAAUAUAAGUGGAUCAAUUCUAUAGUGUGGGAACAUCUUUGACGAUGAAUGGAGGUAAUAAAAAUCUCCUAACUCAAAGUUGAGUUGAAAACUUUUCUGCUGGUUGAGUUUUAGUGGACAUUCUUACUUGGAUGAACUUCCAAUGACUAUUACUCCUAUAAUAUAAUAAUUUAGGUGGCCUACUACAUACCAAAUGAAAUAUCUUCGAGUCUUCUUUCCAAUGCAUCUGAUUUUACCUUAAUCUGAUAUCAUAGUGGAAAGUUAUGCUUACUUUACCUAAGAAUGUCUGUCUGCCAAAGAUUGACAACAGGAGUUGACGAGCCGUCAACAAGUUGAUGGGCUGUCAACUGAAGCUUUCAACGUUAGGCAGUAAAGCUCAAAAUCUUUCAGAAGUUGACGACGGGAGUUGGCGGGCUGUUAACUAGUUGAGGGACUGUCAAUUAGUUGGCGAGCUAUCAACUGAAGUUGUCAACCUUAGUAAAGAUCAAAGAUGGAUAGAGAUUGGCGACAAGAGUUGACAAGCCAUCAACUAGUUUACGGGUUAUCAACUGAAAUUGUCAACUGCGAAAUUCCUAUAAUUUUUUUUAGUUUUUUUAGGGGUAUUUUUUUCUUUUUCUCACCUCAAACCCUACCCCACGACUUAAAUCACUCUAUAAGCAUUAUUUACUCAUCAGUUAUCAAUUUUUAAAUGUUCAAUAUCCUCUCCUCUCUUAAGAGAAAAGAAGAUAGGUUUUCUUUUUAAAAUUCAUAUUUCUAAGGCUCAGAUUCAAGGUGUCUCAAAUUUUGUUCAUCAAAAAGAAAGGUAAAACGAUCAUAAUACUCAUCAGCUUAACUAUGGUGUUUUCAUAUUCUAGAAAAUUAUAUUUAUAUACAUAUGCUAUGGAUUUUAAAAUUGUUGAAGAUUAUGAAUUACGAACCCCUUUUUAUGAUGAAAUUUAUGCAUUUAACUAGUGUUGUGAAAUAUUUAUUGAAUGAUGAAAAGGUUGAGUUUUAAAUGCUUCUUUAGCAAAUUAUAUAUUUUUUUUAUUUAUGUGGAUUCAAAGGAUGUUUCUUGUAUUUUUAAAUGCUCCUGUUUUCUCAAGGAGAGUGUAUGAAUCAUGAAAAGAUAACCACUUUUACCAGUUAUAAAAAUGUCUUUAAAGAAUGUGAUUUUACCUAAACUUGCUCAUGGAUUUUGUAAGAGAAUUCUUAUGUGAUAUCUGAAUUAAUAUGGUGGUCAAUGAUAUAUGUUUCGAAUGAAGGGCUAUGAGGAUGAUAUGAUAUGAUACAACUUGCAAGUCUAGAUAUGACGAUACCUUUUACGGGAUGCCCUUAAAAGAAUAUGAGAUGAACUUUUAUAAGAAUGAAACAUGAUUUUAAGAGGCUAAAUAUGGUCUUUAAGCGGGUUAGAUGGUUAACCGAGAAGUCAUGAGUUGAUAAUCUUACAACCCAAAAUAGUGUUUUCCUGACGCUGGAAUUAAUUCAGUCUUGAAAUAAGGAUGGGCCACGUAUACUUGCCUCGGGCAUUGGUAUACUAAAAUAGAAUGUAGAGACUCCAAUCCUUGUGGAAAACUUAGAUUUGAGGGCUUGGUCAAUGAGUUAAAGUCGAACAAUAUACCCCGUUGAUAGUAAAAAGGUCGAGAAUACCAUCUAGCUCUGAAUUAAAUAAAAAAGUUGAGUCUAUCUUUUUACGAGAUUGAUUGAAGCUUUUAAAUUAUUCCCAUGUAUUUUGAUUUCUAUUUUUGUUAAAUUAUUUUCACAACGCUCUUAUUUAUUUUGUAUAAAUUAUAUGUUGUUUUGGGGUUGUUAUACAUGCCAAUACAUUCCAAGUAUUGACCAUCCUCGGACGGCUACAUUGUUUCAAAAUAAAGGUUUUGAGGCUCAAUCCCACGGUCCAUCACAGUAGUAGAACCAUCUGAAGCAUCAGAGUUGGCGUGCCUCCAUCUUUUGAAAGGCGUUUUUUCAUGUGUUCAUGUCUUUUAGUUUAUGAUCCUACCAGUGGCCUUAUCCCGACCUAGACAGUUAUUCUUCAGUAGAAGCUUCGUAGACUAGACUUAGUUAACCUUUUUGUUAUGACCUUAUUGAUGGAGUUUUCUUAUAAGAUAUCUUGAACUUCAUUAUAUCUUCCGUAUUUCUCAUGAAUUAUGCUUAUGAUAGUAUGCUAUGGCAUCUCUCGGGCCUUUGUGGUUCGGGAUUCUCGUCACGAUCAACGCCACGACUCAAAUCCUGAAUACUUGGUAUCAGAGCACGAUUCAGAAUCUCAGGGUAUCUACAAAGCCGUGUCGAGUUGAUACAAGAAAAGAUACAAAAAUCUACAACACACACAAACGAGGGGGAAACAAGGGGAAACACGAGGUAACAAGUAAGAUAAAUAGAUAGAAAGACAGACACAAAAUGAUAUUCUAAAGGAAAAAUAAAAAGUAUAUCAAACCCUAAACCCCCUCUUAACGAUUACUACGAGCACCUAACUCUUAUGUAUACCUCAAUGGAAUCGGAUUUCUGAGCAAUCAAUAUUUUGAACCGAAGUAUCAACACAAGCUAGUCCAAGCUUGUAAUUCACUCAUAAAGAGCAUUCAUUCAUAAAUUAUCAAAAGUUGUAAAUGAAAUGACUAAGGCAUCUAUUUAUAGUGUUUGCCUUUGCAUAAAAUAGCUUGUUACAAAAUAUCCCAAAGUGGCUAUUUGGGAAAUAACCCACAAGGACUCUUCAAAGAAUCCUCCAAGCUCCAAGCAACUAUCCACACAUAGAAUUAUGGGUUUAGGAGAUUAAAGGGGGUCUACCAAGUUCAUUCUCGAGCUCGUUGCUUGACCGUGACUUGUACCUCUUUUUAUUGGCCUCGAUUGAUUUAAUCUAAAUCUUUAAGGCCCUUUGGAUUGUAUCAUCCCCCUUCUUGAAAAGGAUUCGUCCUCGAAUCCAAACCUUGCUAAAACAAAGGAAGGAUAAACAAACACGAUAUCCUCAAGCAUUAGGGUUAGAGUUAGCACAAUCAAUCAUAGCAUCAUGCCAAGCUUGCACACACUUAAGAUAUAACCAAGCAUCAAAAUAAUCAAUCAAGGGUUUAUAACCUAAAAUGGUAAGAACUACUUGGUCAUUCAAGAGCUUUAAACAAAAGGGUAUGUUAGAGGAACCAUUGUAGUGAAUCAACCGCUCAUGAAGGUUCACAUGGGUUCCAAAACUCAAUAAGCACCAAAACCUUCUAUGUUUCUCAUUUGUGUUGGAGAUCCUUCCGUUACACAAAAUUGGUCCCUCAAGUAGAUUAUAAAUCUCCAAGAAAGAAUUUCCAUCUUAGGGAUAAGUUCCAACACCCUCACCUAUGGUUGUCUUGUCUUCUUGCCCAAGCACCAAGUGGUAUGAAGAGGAACCACCAUAUUUCAAAUUAUCACUAGGAUCAAAUGGGUAAAGUGACCAUGGAUAUGAGUUUAGGAAACACUUCUUUUCCCCAUAUUACCACUAAUACAAUUAUUUAUACCCUCUAUACUAGCAUGAUCAUUAAAAAAGGCAAUUAGGGGGUUACUCCGACUUAAUCGACCAAUAUUUUCAGCAUCAUCAUUCACUUGAGGUCCUUUAAACACUUCACAAGCAUUCCUAAGAGAUGGGAUAGGUUCACACACAAGUUGGUCCUCAUGACUUCCACAAGACAAUAUACUAUCACUCAACACAAUGGCUUCAAUACUAGGUUGACAUAAAUUAAUCUUUCUAGAAGAGUUAAUUUUGUCAUUAUUAUGAUCAACUAGUGUAUCCAUACUCUCAAGUUGUACAUUAUCACAAUGAAGUAAAGAGACAUUAGACUUAUCUAAAUAUAAGCUAUCAUUCACAGUUAGUUGGCUUCUAACCUCAUUCACAAGAGUACAAGAGUUAGCUUUGUUACCUUGAAGUUCAAUUAGAGCAUGUCCACUCAAGGGAGAUUGAAGAUUUGGUGGAUUAGGAAGGGUGGAUUUAGGAAAUCUUAGACGAUCUAUCAUAUUGUCCAUAUUCCCUUAAAGAAAUCUUUCCCUGCUCUCCAUUCUUCCUUCAAGAGAUCUCAUUCGGCUAUCCAUGGCAUCAAACCUUCCCAUGAUUGAUCCAACCCAACUAGGAAUAUCACCUCCAUCCACCAUUGUGCCUAUUAAAAGAAAAACUAAACAAAAAAACAAAAAUAAUAAACAAGUUAAUUUUAGGAAAACAACCUCACAAGCUCUCAAGGUUCACCUUUGAUUUCCACUCAAUUGGAGUUGCAAGUGUUGAUAGCUCCUUUUUACUCUAAUGAUAUUACUUGGUAUUGAUUAUGGCUUGAGGUUAGAAUGGAUUCUUAUUUGAAGGACUCAAAUAAAUAAAAAUUAUGUACGGACUUGAAUAAAAACUAACAAUGAAAUGAAAAGAGAAAAGCUAGAAAGAAAUAGGAAAAUGAAAGAAGCGGACUCUAAAACUAAUUCACAACUAAGUAGGAUGAUUACUACUUCUUAAUUAGUGUUUGGAAUCAAAUAAAAGAAGUUAAAGAAUCAAUAAAAGAAACUAAGAAUCUAAAAUUGCGCUUAAGAUAAUUUGACGAUUUGAAUUGAUGUUGCUGCCUCCAAGUGACGACUAAGGUGGGUGGGUCAUCACUUGACUGACGCCUAAGGUUGAAAACAAGGGGAAGUCGUCAUACUUAGGUAGUGAUUGUGAUGACUUGGCCUCCUUUAGCUGCCGACUUAUCACUAAAGUGAUGAAUAUGGGCUAGUUAUCAACCUUAGGCAGUGGGGUUGAUGACUUAUUGUGAUUGAUUGUCACUUGGGAUAGUCAUCACCCUUAACCAGUAGGGUUGACAACUUGUUGUGGUGGCUUGCAUUUGAGUUGAUGACUAGAGGUGACGACAAGGGAUAGUCGUCACCCUUAAACAGUAUGCGUCUAAGUCUCUAAUCAUGCAAUAUCAAGGUGUGGAGGGUAUUCAAAUGUUUUUCUCAACUUUUGGAUCAUCUUGAUAGAUUCUUGGAGAUUAUUGAAGGCCUUGAUCACGUCAGUAAUGAAUCAAUCUACACUUGAAAGCCUUGAAUUCUUUGUGGUCCCCUCCUUUGUACUCACUGUUAUUUUCUUCCUUAGGAAUAUUCCUUUUUUAUGCCAAUUGAUCCUUUCCUCUUUUUGGAAGACUUGAAAUAUUCUUUGGAACAAACAAGUACAACACCUUCUCUUACCUUCCUUUAGGAUAAAACACUCGCUUUUUGAAUGUUCUUUUUCAAUAACAUAUGACGAACACCAAGAACAUUUAAAAUUAACCCUUAAGAAAAUGACAUCGAAAUUCGAUGAAAUUCAAACCCCAAGCUCACGUUAAUAAUCUAAGAACAAUACCAACAUUUUCAAGCCCAAAAUCUCAACAACAAAUCACCAAUUUGAGAACCCACCUCAAAUUUUCUUCAAACUCAAGCUUUAACAAUGGUAGGUCACUCAACUCAACUCCAAUUUAGCUCAAAUUUUAGAUCUCAACUUAAAUAGUGUUAGGGAACAAGGAUCUAACAAUAAAAACAUAAAAUGACACAAAAAUCAAAAACUUAAUUUUUUGGCCUAGGGGUAAAAUGGGAAUAAAAUGUUUCCAUUGUGAUUUUUGAAUUUCAACACAAAUAGACCCAACAUUGACUUAGUGGAAAUAAAAUCAGGCUCUGAUCUAAUACAAAAUAAUAUGAGACAAGAUAAGAAAAGCGAAAACAUACACAAACGAGGGGGAAAAUAUGGGGAGAUUCAAGAUAACAAGGUAAAGAGAUAGAAAGAUAGACACAAAAUGAUAUCAAAAGGGAAAAUAAAGAGUAUAUCAAACCCUAAACCCUCCCUUAAAUAUUACCAUGAGAACCUAACUCUUACGUACACCUCAAUGGAAUCAAAUUCCUGAGCAACCCACAUUUCGAAUUGAAGUAUCGACACAAGUUAAUCCAAGCUUGUAAUUCACUCAUAAAGAGCAUUCAUUCAUAAAUCAUAAAAAGUUAUAAAUGAAAUGACUAAGGCAUUUAUUUAUAGUGAUUGUCUUUGCAUAAAAUAGCCUAUUGGAAAAAUAGCCCAAAAGUGGCUAUUUGAGAAAUAACCCACAAGGGCUUUUCAAAGCAUCCUCCAAGUUCCAAGCAAUUAUCCACAUAUGGAAUUGUGAUUUUAGGAGCUUAAAAAGGGCCUACCAAGUGCAUCCUCGUGCUCUUUACUUGACCAUGGAUUGGACCUCUUUGUAUUGGCCUCGAAUGAUGUAACCAAAAGCAUUAAGGUCCCUUUGGAUUAUAUCAUGAAUAGAGUCCCUUGUAUGGGUGUGUAGCAUGCCACACUUAUAGGAGGGAGGCUAUGAGGCAUUUUUGAAAUAUUUCUCAUUCUUUCAUACUCUAGAUCAUGCAAUAGUGUUAUCCAUGUGAAAGUUAUCCAAACUUCUUCCUUGCUCUAAUUUUGUAGGCUAUGCCUCAUUGUCGAGGUGACAAAAGUGCAAAAGCUUAGAUUCCAAAUGAUGUGAUCCCCUCUACUAAGUCAUCGAAAAGUUAGGAAACCACAUAAGUUCUUGAAAUGAGUUCUUUAGUGCAUCAAAGUUUAUAAAUUCAAGGUAUACCUCUAUCUUCAUGAAUUGUGCAUUUUAGCUUGAGUUAAGAGGCGUAUUAAAUCCCUUUCAGAAACUUUAUUACAGACAUAUCUCUUAAGGAGAAAGAUGUGUAUCUAAAUAUUGGGAUAGUAUUUCCAUCCAAAAGGUUGUAUAAAUUGGGGUAUUAUGACUUAUGAAUAGUAAGAUGAUCUCAAGGUUAGUGAUAUGAAGUCAUAAGUUUAAAAGCCAGAGUGAGGGUAAUUUUUGAGUAAAAAAGGUAGUAAUAUUAGUGUAAACAUUAAGUAAGUGUUGGAGGUGGUAUGUUCUUAUGGUGAUUGGCUAUGGAUGUAGAAAGACUUGUAGGUUUUAUUUUAGUUAGGAGAGAAAGUGAUUAGUUAUGAUGAUUUAGAAUUUAUUUGAAAUAGGAAAGGAUCUUAUGAUGGAUAGUUAUUAUAGUAGUAAAAAACUAAUCAUAGGUUGUGAAUGAAAGAAUAGACUGACUAAUAAUUUAUCAAUUUAUACUUUAAUUGGGGAAAUCUUAGGGAAAUAGGGACUUAGUGAUACAUAGAAUUUUGAAGGUAGUUUAAAGGUAUGCCUGGAUAAGUAGAUUUAAUGUGAGGAAGGAGACUAUGCUCAUAGAACGUAAUGAGUUAUGUUAAUAUUAAGAUAGACUAUCCUAAUUAUGUGGUCUUACUACAUUAAGAGUCUUUUGAUUUUUUUUUAUCUAGAAGUUGAAAAAUAGUCUAGUAGGUGAGAAGAUAUAUUGUAAAUUUUAUGGUGUAGCAUUAAUAUUGUGAAGAAGAUGUGGUUAUAGGUCGUAGUUAAGUGAAAUAUGGAAUUCAGAUUGAUCAAUUUGUCAUAAAUUUUGAUGGACUAGUACAAUAUGUGGGAUAUUUCUUUGGCAAUUCAUGAUUGGUAAUAGUUGUUAAGCUUGAACUUUAGAUGUUGAUUGUGGUGAUAAGAAUGUUAGCUCGAGGAUAGUAAUACGGAUUUAUGGGAGUAAAUUAGUGCUUGAUUUGAUGUAUGAAAGAGCAUAGGUAGAUAACUUAUGAAAAAUUUAAGCGGGUAAUUGUGAUGUAUAUACAUAAGGAACAGUGUUGAAAUAAUGACUUGUGGCUAAGUAAUUAGGUAGAUAAGAGUGUUGGGUUUAUAAAGAUAAGUUAAACCCCGGGUAACAUGUUGUUGGAUGAGAUUUUAAGUGUAUAAGUGUCAUAUGUACCUAGUUCAUGUUCUCGAAGUUCUUAGUAUGGAGAAGUCUAGGGAGUUGUUAUAUGGCGUUCUUUAGAGCUGAGUUGAGGGAAGUAUAUAUAGAUGAUGUGAGCUCUUGGUAUAGUUUUUAAAUUUUGUUAAAUUAUUUGGUUAUGCGAUUAGAGGUUUAAUGCUAGUAUAUUAAGGAGUGGAGUGUGGAUUGUUACAUGUUAAGCAGUACGUAUGUGUAUGCUCUUGAGGAUGUAAAUUAUAGGGUGAUGAAUAUUGACCUGUAAUACACUGUAUUAGCCUUAUCUCAAUUAUCUCCCAAUGUAUGUUUAAGAGGCUUAGAACCUGAAAAUUUAGCUAAGUAUUGGAGACCUAGUUUCAUUUUUGACCCCUAAACUUCGAUGAUCUUAUUCUCAAUGUUCUCGACCCCAAAAAAUUGGUCUCUAAUUGAAUUCAUGACUAGGGUUGUCGAUAGUUCAUCUCGGGUGAGUUUUGGGUUUUUCGAACGAUAUUUGGGGCAUGUUUGGAUGGCCAAACCAGUGGACCAACGUGAUAUGGCCACAUCGCAUCGGCUAUUGUAUUGGAAGAAGCAACACAGAGCGUCGUUUAUCGCGUCGGGUUGAGCAACGCAGUGGGUCGCCAAAUACGUUGGGGCCCAAUUUGGUUUAAACAAAUUACGGGUCCAGAGGGUAUUUGGGUCUUUUCCCCUAUUUUAAUUCAGCCAAAACAUGGGAUUUAGGUCCCAAAGCAACAAUUUUGCCUCAUAUUUCAUAAUUUCCUCAAAUUGAAAUCAUUCUCUCUCAAGAACAUAACCUUAGACCCUUCAACCUUUAAGAUCAAUUAUCAAGAAAUCCACCAAGAAUUUCCAAGAAUUCUUCAAUUAAGGUAUAUAGGUGUUCAUCCUUGGGUCCUUUUCACCCUUGGAUCCCAAACACCACUUUUUAAACUUAGUUAUGAGUUUUACAUGAUUAAAUUGAUUUAUGUCCAUAAAUAUAUUGUUAUUUUGAUUCAAGUUAAGAAUAUAUGUGUGUUCAAGUAGAAUGAGCUAAUACAUUUUUUGAAUGAUGUAAAUCUUACGUCAAAUCCCUAAGUUGUGAAUUGAAUAGUAUAGUCGUGAUAUUUUCUCAUGUUGCUCAUUCCCAUGUAAAAUUUCAUGCCACACAUGUUUUUGAUAAAAUGUCUAGAUGAAUGAGUUCUGAACAAUGACUACUUAUUUAUGUUUCUAAAGUUGUAGUAUGGUCCCAUUGCAAAUGCUAUCGAGUCCUAGGGUUAUGAAUACCCAAAAUUUAUCUGUUUACUUAGUUUUUAGAAUAUACAGUAUGAAUUCAGUUAUACCUUGAGCAAUAUCUUUCUUUCAAGUUAGCAUGGUUAGUUGUGUAUUCAGUUAAGCCUAGUCCAGUCUAAUAAUCAGUGUCAGUUUAGUUGAGAGUAGAAUUUAGCACCGAGCGAACCAAGGGAUAGGGGUAUUCCUAUCAGGUUAGGGUUUGACCUUUAGUAGCAAUCCCUGAGUUACAAAACUAUAUAGCCAGCGUUGGUUGAGAUGUAUUCCUAUCAGUUAGGGUUAACAUAUCUCCUGAGUACUCCUUCCAGAUUAGGGUGAAUAAUGUGUCUUUUUGGAGAUUAGUUUAGUGGAUCCACAAAACCAUUGUUAUUACCCAUGGCACGAUAUUGACAGCCUUCGAACUGGGGUUACAAGUUGGACCCCGAUUAGCUCAUAUUGGGGCAUGCCGGUUAGAUGAUACCUCCUACAGUCUCAGUUUAGUAUUCACAUAUCAGUACUAGUUACUCAUAUAUCAGUAUUCUAAUGCUUCUGUUUACAGAUUAUCUCAGCGUCAUAUUCUAUGCUUGGUCAUGUAUUUUCAGACUUCCUAGUUUUCAUGCAUUCAUAUUCAGUCAUCUUAUGUCAUUUCAUUAUUACCUUAUGCUUAUGACCCAUGCAUUUCAGCCUUACCUCAUCUAGCAUACUAGUACAUUUAAAGUACUGAUCACAUAUUUAUUUCUUACGCUAUGAUGUCUUAUAUCAUAGGUUCGGACGCUCAGGUUACCUACCGUAUUUAGACUUUUUAGUGCAUCAGUAGUAGCAGUAGGGGGGAGUCCUCAUCCUUCGAGGACGAGUUAUCUUAUAUUUAGUUAUAUCAGUAGUUCAGUUGUUUAGUCAGCUAGAUUUAGUUGAGGGCUUAUCCCAUCAACUCCACAGUCAAUCAAUUUAGAGGCUUUCAAACUAGUAUAGACAGUUGGUCAGUUUUUGGUUGUUUUUAUCAGUAUUGCUAGCAUGCUUUCAGAGAUUUAAAAAUAUGAUUUAGUUGUUAAAACUUAUGGAAUUUCUAGUUAAAUUCCGCACGUUUUUAUUAUUAUUUUUUAGUGAUUACAGCAGGUAUCAGUUCUUGGGUUAGCUCGUCGUCUUUCGGGGCCGUACGCACCACUGGCAUCCAUGGUGCAUUCCCAGGGUGUUACAAACUUGGUAUCAGAGCCUAAGAUCUUAAGUGUCCUUGGGAGUAUGAAAGUUGUGUCGAGUAGAGUCUUAUGCAUGAGUGUGUAGCGUGCCACACUUAUGGACAAGAGGCUACAAGAAGGUUUAGGAAAAGUUUCCCUUCUUUUAGUAUUCAUGUCGUACGAAUGAGCAUAUGCUCAAAUUAAACUCUCUAUCUAAUUCAAAUCUUCCUUCCAUUUAUAGAAUAUGUCUCCCAGAAAGACUAACAGAAGAAGAAAUAGAAACCAGCCAGCACCUUCGCCCAUUCAGGAAGAUCCCCUGAAUGAGCAUGUUUCUCAUACAGAAUUCAGAGCUAUAUUCAUCACUCUAUCCCACUCUAUAGCAACUCAAAAUGUUCAUCCAGUUAAUUUUUAGGACAAACCAAUGGCCAAUACUACCACAACUAGGAUUUGGGGCUUUACCCGAAUGAAUUCUCUUUCAUUUUUAGGAUCCAAGUCUGAAGAGAAUCCACAGGAUUUCCUCGAAAUAGUGCAAAAGGUAACAGACAUUAUAAAGGUAACUUCUAGUGAGUGUGAUGAAUUGUCUGCUUACCAACUAGAGGAUGUAGCUCACACCUAGUUUAAACAAUGGAAAGGGGAUAGAGGUAUAGAUGCAGGGCCUAUAGAAUGGGAGGAGUUUGCUUCAGCCUUCUUAGAUAGAUUUUUCCCUUUGGAGUUAAGGGAAGCCAAGGUGCAAGAGUUCAUAAAUUUGAAACAAGGCAACAUGAGUGUGAAGGAGUAUUCCAUCAAAUUUACCCAGCUAUCUAGGUAUGCUCCUAAUGUAGUGUCUGAUAACAGGUCUAGAAUGAGUAAGUUUGUUUCUGGUAUGGCAGAUAAUAUGGUCAAGGAGUGUAGGAAUGUGAUGUUGAUUAAGAAAAUGUACUUGUCUAGGUUAAUGGUCCAUGCUCAGCAAAUUAAGGAGUAGAAGGCUAAGGAGAAAGAAAAAGAGAAUAAGAGGGCUAGGAUAAGUUGUUUUAACUUUGCUCAGCCGAGGUCGAAGGGUGUUAACCUUCCUUAAUUCCAUCAAAAAUCUUUAACUCCAGCCUCGUCCUCAACUAGUGCGCCUACACCAAAGUUCAAAAAUGAUAACCACACUAGAACGCCAGGCUCUAAUACUCAAGGUAGUAUAAACAGUGGUCGUACAAGUCCCGUUUGUUAGAAAUAUGGUAGAAACCAUUAGGGAAUGUGCAGAUCUGGCAAUUAUGUAUGUUUUUUGGUUGGCAAUCCAGGCCACAGAGUUAGAAAAUGUAAUUUGGCCAGCCCGCAAAGUCAAUACAGUCUUCCUCUAGUUUAAACCAGUCACUCGACUCAGCAGGGUGCCACUUCCAGUGCCACCAGUGGGUAGUGCCACCAGUGGGUAGCACCUAAACAGGCUAUAUGUACUUCUGUCCCGAUAGGAUCAUGAGAGUUAUCCUGAUGUGGUUAUGGGUACAUUAUAAGUCUUUUAUUUACAUGUUUAUGCUUUACUAGAUCUUGGAGCUUCUCUUUAUUUUAUAACCCCUUAUAUAACUGUCAACUUCAGGGUCAGUACCAAAACCUUAAUCAAUAUUUUCUCAGUAUCAACCUCAGUGGGUAAGUCCAUCAUAGCCCGACGGGUAUGCAGGAACUGCUUGGUUACGGUGUCUCAAAAAGUUACUUCAGUAGACCUUGUAGAGUUAGAGAUAAUGGAUUUUUAUGUCAUUCUUGGCAUGGAUUGGCUCUAUUUAUGCUAUUCUACAGUGGUUUUUAGGAACAAAGUUGUCUAUUUCCAGUUCUCAAAUGAAUGUCUUUGAAUGGAGGGGAGUACUAUAACGCUUAGGGGUCAACUUUUUUCAUAUCUUAGAGCAAGAAAAAUGAUAUCCAAAGUUUGUGUCUACCAUCUUGUACGAGUCAAAUAAUUUAGUUCUGAAGCUCCUAAUCUUGAUUCAGUUCCAGUAGCAAGGGAAUUUCCAGAUGUGUUCCCUGAAGACCUUCCCGAAAUUUCUCCCAAAAGGGAAUUCAAUUUGGGAUACACCUUCUUCCAGAUACCCAACCUAUCUCUAUUCCGCUGUAUAGAAUGGCUCCAAGAUAACUCAAAGAUCUAAAAGAAUAGUUAAAGGACCUCCUAUAUAAGGGAUUCAUUAGGCCAGUGUUUCCCUAUGAGGCACUACAGUCCUUUUUGUGCGAAAGAAAGAUGGUUCUCUUAGAAUAAAUAUGCACUCCCUAGAAUUGACGACUUGUUCUACCAACUUCAGGGUGCCAGUUACUUUUCUAAGAUAGAUCUCAGAUCCAUCUAUCACCAGCUCAGAGUCAGAGAAUGUGAUAUUCCAAAAAUAUCCUUAGAAACUCGGUAUGGUCACUUCAAGUUUCUAGUUAUGUAUUUUGGUCUCACAAAUGCCCCAACAACCUUUAUGGACUUGAUGAACUGAGUGUUCAAACAAUACUUGUACAUGUUCAUCAUAGUCUUCAUCGAUGACAUUUUUGUCUACUUUCAUAACAAAAAUGAUCAUGCAGACUAUCUCAAAAUUAUAUUGCAAACUCUUAGAGCCCAUCAGUUGUUCACCAAAUUUAGUAAGUGCAAAUUUUGUCUAAGUUCAGUAGCUUUUUUUGGCCAUAUUAUUUCCUGUGAUGGCACUAGAGUUGAUUUUCAAAAUAUCGAAGUUGUGAGAAACUAUCCCAGACCCAUCUCUUCUUCAGAUAUUAGGAGUUUCUUGGGUUUGGCUAGUUCUUACCGAUGGUUUGUUGAAGAAUUUUCAUCUAUUGCAUCCCUCAUGUCCAGAUUGACUUUGAAGAAAGUUAAGUUUUAGUGGUCAGAUUCUUGUGAGAAGAGUUUUUUGUCAGGAGUUAAAGACUCGACUACCACAACUCCAGUUUUGAUACUUCCAGAUGGUUCAUUCGGCUUUUAUUUGUACAGUGAUGCUUUUAGAGUUGGUUCGGGGUAUGUUUUGAUAGAUAAGAGUAAGGUCAUAGCCUAUGCCUCUGGACAUGUUAAGGCCCAUAAGAAGAAUUACCCUACCUAUGAUCUUGAGUUAGCAACUAUUGUGUCUGCCAUGAAUAUUUGGAGGCACUAUUUGUAUGGGGUGAAUGUAGAUGUGUUCACGGAUCACAAAAUCUUGCAGUACGUGUUCUCGCAGAAAAAUUUAAAUCUUCAUCAGAGAAGGUGGUUAGAAUUGCUAACAGACUAAGCCAUAAGUAUUUUGUAUCAUUCGAGAAAGUCCAAUGUAGUGGUGGAUACCCUCAGUAGAUUGUCUAUGGGUAGUGUUGCUCACGUUAAGAAUGAUAUAAAGAAGUUAAUUCAGGAGGUUCAUCAGCUCACCAGAUUAGGUGUUCACUUGAUAGAUUAAUCUGAGGGUAGUGUAUGGGUGCAAAAUAGUUUGAUAUCAUCUUUGGUUGCUGAAGUGAUAGAAAAACAUGAUAUAGAUUCAAGUUUGGCUGGAUUGAAAAAGUCUAUUAGAGAUCAGAAAGUAGAGGUUUUCUCUCAAGGGGGAGAUGGUGCGUUGCAUUGUCAGAGUAGACUAUGUGUGCCGUGUGUAGAUGAUUUGAGAGAGCAGAUUUUGUUGAAGCAAUGGUGUGUGUUACUCUAUUCAUCCAGGGUCCACUAAGAUGUACCACGAUUUGUGGGAAAUGUAUUGGUGGAGUAGGAUGAAGAGGGACAUUGUAGAGUUUGUAGCUAAGUGCUCUACGUGUCAACAGGUUAAGUUUGAACACCAAACGCCUAGUUUUUCUAUACAAGAGUUUAAUAUUCCCACUUGCAAGUGGGAGGAAGUGAACAUAGACUUUGUGAUUUGUUUGUCUCGUACUUGUUGUCAGCAUGAUUCGAUUUGGAUCAUUGUGGAAAGGAUGACCAAAUCACCCAAUUUCUUGCUAGUCCAUACUUUUUAUUCAACUGAGGACUAUGUAAAGCUCUAUAUUAGAGAGCUAGUUAGGUUGCACGGUAUUCCGUUAUCCAUCAUUUCUAUCGGGUACUCAGUUUACCUCUCACUUUUGGAAAGCUUUCUAGAAAGGUCUGGGUACCUAAGUUCACCUUAGUAUAGCCUUUCAACCUCAAAUAGUUGUUCAGGUAGAGAGGACUAUUCAUACCCUAGAGGAUACAUUAAGAGCAUAUGUCAUCGACUUUAAGGGUAGUUGGGAUGAUCACUUACCUUUGAUUGAGUUCGCGUAUUAUAACAAUUAUUAUUCCAGUAUUCAGAUGGCUCCGUGUGAGGCUUUUUAUGGGAGAAGAUGUCGAUAUCUAAUUGGUUGGUUUGAGGUAGGUGAGACUACUUUGGUAGGGACUGACUCGGUGUUUGAUGCUUUAGAGAAAGUCCAGUUGAUCAGGGAGAGUCUUAAGACAACCCCACGCUGACAGAAAUCCUAUGCAGAUGUGAGAAGAAGAGACCCUGAGUUUGAGGUUGACGACUUAGUUUACUUAAAAAUCUCUCCCAUGAAGGGAGUAAAGAGGUUUGGUAAGAAAGGAAAGUGUAGUAUCUGAUAUGUUGGACCUUAUAGAAUCCUAAGUCGCUUUGCAAAGGUAGCCUAUGCGCUUGAGUUGCCUGAAUACUUAGCAUCAAUGCACCCAGUAUUUCAAGUCUUAUUGCUAAAGAGGUAUAUUGGAGACCCAACUAUUGUGGUCCCCUUAGAAAACGUAGAUGUUCAGAACAGUCUCUCUUACGAAGAAAUUUAAGUCAAAAUCCUUGAUCGCUAGAUUCAUACGCUAAGGAACAAAAAAGUUCCCUUGGUCAAAGUUCUUUGUCGGAACCAGUCCGUUGAUGGAGCCACUUGGGAAGAAGAAGUAUUUAUUCGAACUAAGUACCCUCAUCUCUUCUCUGCAAACUCAGACUUAGUUUAAGGUAACAGUUUCCCUCAGAUUUCCCCUUUUUCCAUACUCAGUUUCAGUUGCACGUCAUCCUUAUGUCACUCAUGCAUUUAUGAAAACAGUUCAGCCAUGUAUCAUGUUUCAGACUCAGUUAGGCAACCAUACUUUCAGUAUGCAUAAUUAGCAUGUAAUCUCUUGUACCUCAGUAUUCUUAGCUUAAUUAGUCUCAUUUGAGGAUGAAUGUUCACAAGGGGAAGAUAUUGUAAUACCCCAUAUUAGCCUUAACUCAAUUUAACUCCAAGUGUAUGUGUAAGAGACUUAGAGCUUGAAAAUUUAGCUUAGUGUUGGAGAAUUAGUCUCAUUUUUUACCCCUAACCUUUGAUGAUUUUAUUCUCGACCUUCCCGACCCUAAAAAGUUGGUUUCUAAAUUAAUUCAUUUCCAGGGGUAUCGAUAGUUCAUCUCGAGUGAGUUUUGUUUUUAUGGACGAUGUUUGGGGAAUGUUUGGAUAGCCAAAGCAGUGGACCAACAUGAUAUAGUCGUGUCCCAUCGGCUACCACAUUGGCAACAAUAAUACAGUAUAUUACAUUGGGUUGCAUCACCAAAUGCGUCGGGAUCCAGUUCAGUUUAAAUAAAUUUCGGGUCCUGAGGGUUAUUUGGGUAUCCCCCCCCCCCCCCCCCUUUUAAUUCAACUAAAACAUAGUAUUUAGGUCCCAAAACAACAAUUUUGCCUUAUAUUUUAUAAUUCCCAAAACUAAAAUCAUUCUCUCCCAAGAACAAAACCCUAGCCCCUUUAACAUUCAAGAGAAAUUCUCAAGAAAUCCACCAAGAACUUCCAAGAAUUCUUCGAUCAAGGUAUGUUAGGUGUUCAUCCUUGGGUCCUUUUCACCUUUGGAGCCCAAGCACCACAUUUUAAACUUAAGUUAUUAGUUUCACGUGAUUAAAUUGAUUUAUGUCCAUGAAUAUUUUUUUAUGAUGAUUUCGCGUUAAGAAUAUAUGUGUGAUAAAGUAGAAUAAACUAAUACAUAUUUUGAAUGAUGUCGAAUCUCUAAGUUGUGAAUUGAAUAUUAUAGUCAUGGUAUUUUCUCAUGUUGCUCAUUCCCAUGUAAAAGUUCAUGCCUCCCAUGUGUUUAGUAAAAUGUCUAGAUGAAUGAGUUCUGAACAAUGACUACUUAUUAUGUUUCUAAAGUUGUAGUAUGGUCCCAUUGUCAAUGCUAUUAAGUCCAAGGGGAUAUUAAUACCCCAAAUUUAGUUAUUUACUUAAUUUUCAGAUUUUAUAGUAUGAAUUCAGUUAUACCAUGAGCAAUAUCUUUUAGUCAAGUUAGCAUAGUCAAUUGUGUAUUCAGUUAAGCCUAGUCCAGUCUAAUGAUUAGUGUCAGUUCAGUUGGGAGUAUGAUUCAGCACCGAGUGAACCCAGGGAUGUGGGCAUUACUGUUAGGUUAUGGUUUGACCCUUAGUAGCAAUUCCUGAGUUACAAAACUACGUAACCAGCGUAGGUUGAGAUGUCUUCCUGUCAAUUAGGGCUGACACAUAUAUCCUGAGUACUCCUAUCAUAUUAUGGUGACUCAUAUGUUUUUUAGAACGUUAGUGUAGUAGAUCCACACAUCCAUUGUUAGUACCUGUGGCACGGUAUUAACACCCUUCCAAUUGGGGUUACAAGUUGGACUCCAAUCAGCUCAUAUUGGGGUAUGUUGGUUAGAUGAUGCCUCCCACAAUCUCAAUUUAAUAUUUAGUAGAGUCAGUUCAGGUUUGUGGGGCAUGUCAGUUAGAUGUCUUAUCUCAUAGGUUCGCACACUUAGGUUCCCGACCAUACUUAGAUUUUCCAGUGUAUCAGAAGCAGCAGUAGGGGUGAUUCUUCGUCCUUUGAGGAUGAGUUAUCUUAUAUUUAGUUAUGUCAGUAGUUCAGUUAUUUAGUCAGUCGAAGUUGGUAAGGGGUUUGUCCCAUCAAUUCUACAGUCAGUAAAUUAGAGGCUUCCAGACUACUACAGAAAGUAGGUCAGUUUUCGGUUGUUUUUAUCAGUAUUACUAGCAUUUUUCAGACCUUUAAAACUAUGAUUUACUAUUGAUUUUAGUUGUUAAACCUUAUGGCAUUUCUAGUUAAAUUCGGCACGUCUUUGUCCUUAUUUUUCAGUGCUCACAGUAGGUACUAGUUCAUGAGUUAGCUUGUGGUCUCUCGGGGCCAUAUAUACCAUGUGGCUUCCAGGGUGCAUUCCCAGGGCAUUACAAGAACCUUUCAAAAUCAUAAAGACUUGAAUUCCCUUGAAGGGGUAUCCUAAAUAGAACUUAGUGUCCUCAUAUUAUAGUUAUCAAAGGGAGUUUAACACUCAUUUAUAUAGUGAUACCCCUUUGUUAUGAGUAUCGUGCUUAUAGAUUUAAUGAAAAAGUAUGUCCACAAGUCUAGUGUAGCGACCUUUGAGCUAAGGCGGAGAUGAUGAACUAAGAAAAGUCUUGAAUUUUCUCAUGGUGGUGAUAAAUCUAUUCUUAUCCUAGUAAAUUCCUCCUACUUCAAUUUAAAAGGACAUUCUACCAAUGUCUUAUGUAUCCAAAUUGUGUCUAUGCCUAAGGUCCAAGUUCUCUAUGCAACUUAUUUCCAUGCUCCAACCCCUGAACUAGAAGCAAUAAUGUUUCUCAGCACUUCAUGCUUCCAAGUAUUCAAGUUCUAUGUUAUGACACUCAUGAUUCGUAAACCCAUAUCUCAUUUUAUACUUAGUUCCAAGAAGCUAUUCUCUCUAUACGUUACUGACUCAUUGUAUGUCAUUUCUUAGCCCAAAGUGAUGUUUCCUAUGCAAACUAAUAACCAUUCUCAGUUCUUAGAUGAAAAGUAAUAGCUUCAAGUGACACUACUUGUCUUAUUCCUUUAAAAUAUGAAUAUCGUCUUUAUGUUAUAUGACUCAUGAUAUAUGUACUCAUAUUUCUCACUGUACCCAGUCCUAAGAACCCAUGCUAGCUUAUGAUUAUGCCUAAAUUACCCUCUACUUAUGAUCUAGGUGUUUACUAUGAAGUAUUUCGUUCCUAGUAUACCAUAUCUCACUUCGCAUGUCUCACCUUGAGCAGUAUGAUAAAUUGGAUUCAUAAUUGAGAAGUAUCACCCUCAUUCUAGAUUCUUGUACUCUAGUCCCUCAAUGACACUCCUUAUGUUAAGAUGAUAAUGAUUAUUAAAGCUUAGUAAUGUUUUAGAUAAGGGAGUAAAUAUUUUUUAAUGUGAAAAUUGUAGUGUGACUACUCGAGCUAAGAUUAUAGAUGAAGAAGGGUAAAGUGAGAUGAACUUUCAUUAUAUGAUAUAGAUAGGAAGUGGAGAUGUGGUGAAAAUCAUUGUGAUUGUGAUUAAAGUUUUUGAUUUUUGGUGGGGAAAUCUAGAAAGUGGGUGUGGUAAAGACAGGCUUUAAUGUUGUGAUUAAUAGAUACACUACCCAUUGUGUUAUAUAGCUAGUACUCCUUGAUUAAGACCCGAGGGUGUUUGAUUAUAGUGAUAAUACAGAGUAGUAUUUUUUUAGGAGUGUAGAUUAUAAUGUCCCAUAGCUAAUAUAACUCCUUUUAACUCUGAAUUAGGUAUCAACAUGGGAGAAAUAUGUAGUUAGACUUAGGAUCUUGUAGUUAUGUGUUUCGUAGAGGAAUUACAAGAUUGAAAUGGUAAGUGUGGUAUUCAUAGCUGAAAGCAUUAUUGAGAAGAGUCACUAAAUUUAUGGGCUAUUAGACAUAUCAUUUGAGGUGGAGAAUACUUCUAUUCUUGUGUCCCUCGAAAAUUUUAUUUUAUGUCAAGCUUCCAUAUAAAUCAGGACCUAUGAUCACAAAAUCAAUUUAUGCCUUACGUUGUUAUGAUCAUGUUCUAUAAAAAUCAGGUCCAAUCUCAUCUAUGUGUCAAGUCUUGUUAAUUCAUGGUUCGUUCUUACACAAUUUACUUGCCAUUGUCAUGAAGAUUUUUUUGAUGCUUUGUAUGUCUUGUUGAAGGAGAAUUCCAAAUGCGAAGUUACAUCCUUUAUUCCAUACUUUUAGAGCUUCAAUAAGUUCCUACCUAUCAUUCAAGGAUGAAUGAUUCCAAGAGGGAGAUAAUGUAACACCCCAUAUUUUUAGGCUAAAUUUGAGCUAUCAUUCUACUUGUAUAUACCAAAAACCAAUGAUUUUUAUGUUAAUAUUAAUGUGAUGAUCAAUUCUAUAGUGUGGUAACAUCUCUGGAGAUGAAUUAAGGUCAUAAAAAUCUCGUAACUCAAAGUUGAGUUGAGAACAUUUCUGUCAAUUGAGUUUUAGUAGACGUUCCUACAUGGGUUAACUUUCAAUGAACAUUACUCCUAGAAUAAAGCUAUUUAGGAGGCCUAUUAUAUUCCAAAUGAAAUAUCUUCAAAUCUUUUUUUCAAUACAUCUGAUUUCACCUUAAUUUAAUAUUAGAGUAGAAAGUUAUGCUCAUUUUACAUGAGAAUGUAUGUCUACCAAAGAUUGACGAUGGGAAUUGACGAGCAGUAAACUAGUUGAUGGGAUGUCAACUGAAGUAGUCAACCUUAGGUAGUAAAGCUCAAAUUCUGUGAGAAGUUGGCAACUGGAGUUGAUGAGCUGUCAACUAGUUGACGGGAUGUUAAUUGAAGUCGUCAACCUUAACUAGUAAAGAGCAAAGAUGGCUAGAGAUUGGUGAUAGGAGUUGACAAGCCAUCAACUAGUUGACGGGCUAUCAACUGAAGUCGUCAACGGCAAGCCAUCAACUAGUUUACAGAUUGUCAACUGAAGCCGUUGUCAUACCCGAUUUUUACUUAAGGUCAAAAUGAGUACGACAUUAUGGACUCUAAAAGAAUUAAUUUUUUGCAAAGUCGCCACCUAAUUUUUAAGGAAAAAUAGAAAACUUAUUUAUUUGUUUAACUAGUAUGAAUUUAUUUAAUCUACGAAAUCAUUUUAGAUUCUAGGUAAGGGUCAAAAUUAUUCCGAAGGGAAGGAAUUAGACACCCUUCAGAAUCCACAAAUAUGGUUCCCGACCAGACUUAGGUUUAUUAAACAGAGAAAGAGAAAAAAAAUCAAUGUUUGUAAAUACAAAUAUAAAAUAUGUGUUGAAAUAAUAUAAUGUGUAUGUUGUAGUAAAAUAUAGGGAUAAUACCCACGAAAAUACCUGAACUUUGAUCGAAUUUCCAGUUGAGCAUACUGAACUUUGCGGGGAUCUAUUACCCCCUAGACUUUUUUCUUUUUUGUAUUUUAAAGGCAUAUAUCCAGUUAGUUGGGCGUGUGAUAGUGAUAAAAAUCAUUAUAAAACCUUAUUUUUUGGUCAAAAAUACCCUCAAUUUUUUAAUAAACAAUAAUUUUUAUGAUUUUUAUUUAUUUUUUAUUUAUAUCUUUUUCCUUUUCUUUCUUCUCUUAUCUUUAAUGGUGCUCCUUCCUCUUAUCUCUUCUUUCUUUCUUCUCUUCAAUGGUGCUCUAUUGAUGCUCCAUUGUUGAAUUGAAAUUUGGUCAUCUUCAACACACCCAAUUCAAUUACAUCAAUUUGAACCAAUUUUAAAACACAUACACACACCAAACAGCAAUGGUGGCGCAGCGGAAAGGGGCUGCCCCAAUCUACCCAGAGGUCGAGGGUUCGAUCCUGGGUAUGGACAAACAAUCUGUUGGGAUCUCUCUCUCCCCCCCCCCCCAAAUGGGGCCUGACGUAGGGCGAAUCCGGAUAUAGUCGGACUCCUAAAAAGCGGGUACCAAACAUCGGGUGGUUUAAACCAAAAAAAAAAUACCAAAAUUAACCCACCAUUGCCACCACCAACCAACUUUCAGAAUUAGGAAUUAAGAUUUUGGUGAAAAAAGCUUGUCACCACCAAUCAAAUUUAAAGAAUUAGGAACCAAAAUUUUGAUUAAAAAAAAGCUUGUUUGGGUAUGGAGCUUUAGCUCCAUUCACCAAAGGAAAAUACGGUAUACCUCAAAUGAUUACAGUUGCCAGUCUAUUAAAAAGGAAAAUACGAUUUUGGACUAAAGCAAUGAAAUCGCCGAUUUGGUGAAUUGUUACAAACUCAAAUGAGACUCAAAUCUUUUCCAGGUGAUAUUAUCCACAGUUUUAUUCCCUUGGAGUUUGGAGUGUUUGUUCUGUGAAAAUCUUUUCCAUUUAAUAUUCAUUAUAGAGCUUGUAUGUUUGUGGAAACUGAUGUAAAGAAACUUCAGUGGUCAAGUUUUGAUCUGCUAUGGUUGUUUCAAGAAAAUAAAAGCCAAAUUUAAAGAAUUAGAAAUCAAGAUUUUGGUGAAAAAUGGUGAAAAAUAAUGAAAAUUGAUGAAAAGAAUAAGAAUGGAGAAUAAAUUAAAUAAAAAUUAAUUUUAAAUAAAAAAAUACAUGUGUCAAUAUCAGAUUGACCCGUGUAUUACACUUUCUACUCUAAAACUAGAUAUAGAUUUUUUUUUAGGGGUGGGUGGGUAAUAAUUUCAUUUUUAAAAAGUCUAGGGGUUAAUAGGACCCCCGCAAAGUUCAGUAUGAUCAACUGAAAAUUUGAUUAAAGUUUAGGUAUUUUCGUGGGUAUUAUCCCUAAAAUAUAUAUAAACAAAGUAUAUAAAUAUAGAUGUAAGUACAAAAUUGAAAAAAAAAUAUUUUAAGAAAAGACUAUGUAAUAUUUUAGUGUAAAAGUGUGAAUUAUUUGAUUAAAUAUCUAAAUCAAUUUUAAUAUAAAUAUUAACGGCCUAAAUUGCUUAACGUGUGGUGAGGAUUGCGUAAAUAAACAAUAUCCCGCCCAACACUCUAAAAUAAAAAUUUUACUAUAAUUAAUAUUUGUACAAGUGUAAAAAUAUAAAAAUACAAACAUAAAAAUUAAAGCCUUCUUUAAAUGUCAUUCCCGAUGAGUAUUCCCAAUAACAUGCAUAAACACUUAUAAAUAAAAUGUUAGUAACAAAUAAAUAAUUAUCAAAACUAAUUUAAAAGAUAUGUUCGCAUAAAUAAAUAUAAAAUAUAAUUUUUCAUUGAAAGGGAGGGCUCGGAUAUGAUUUUAGGUACGCUAUGGCUAAGAAGUGAUUGCUCAAUUUAUUAGCCAUCCUAAAUCGCUUGUUAAGAUACCAAUCAUAAAACUUUUGUGUUAUUAUAAAAAUUUCAUCAUCGCCCAAAUUUAUUUAUUUUUAUUACGUAUUUAUAUACGUAAUAUUCGUCUUUUUAUUUGCGGAGGCCUCAAAAAUCGCCAGAGAAUUUCUUCAUUAGUCAUGUGUCUAUUUUUGAUAUAAAAUAAAUAACUUCAAAAUUAACAAUCCGUCUUUUGUAUUGGGAUGGCCUCACAUAUCCGACGGAAAGAUAAUGUCAUUGGCCAAUUAUAUUAUCAGUGUAAUAAAAUGCGGAGAAAAAGAUUCCAGAUCAGCUCCAGACAGUUCAAAACAAUAGCAAACCAAUAGAAAUACAACAAACCAUGAAUCAAGAACCAAGUCACUGGAGUAGAUUUUUUCUAGUCAACGAUCAAUACGAAAUUAGCAAGAUAAUGUAAAAAAGCAAUCUAAGGAGUAACAAACAAUCAACAAUAAUCCAUCGAAAAAUAUCAAAUAAUUGCAAAGAAGAUCGGGAAGCUUGCUUCUAUGGCAAGAGUUGUCAGAGCAUGCUAGAUAUAGCCAGAUCUAUGUGAACCAAAUGGGUAACAUGUGAAAUCAGUUCAAAGCAGUGGUGACCAUUCAUGCCCAAAACAACAAAUAAAAAAUAGAGGGGUAAGGGGAAGGGAACGACGGCGGCGGUGGGGUUGGAGGCUCGCCAGUAUCACCUCCGACGAGCCAGCGAUGGAGCUGUGAAAAGAUGGGGCGGCUGGACUGAUUUAUUCGGCUAGAGACCGAUGUUUGUGGGUCGUUGGGUGACAGAAAAGUGGAGAUCAAGAGAGAAGAGAGAUGUGGUGGUGGUGGUCGCCGGUAGAAAGUUCGCCAGAGAAGACAAUGAAAAUGGAAAGGAUAGAUAGAAGAGAAGAAAGAGGCGGCUGAAGGGAAAUAUAUGUGUGUAUGUGUGGUGUACGUAUUUUUGCCUUUUUAAUAAAGAAAACUCCCACCCUAUUUAUUUAUAAAAAAAAAACACAACCUUUUAUUAACCAUAUAAAAUAUUGAAUCCUUUUGUUCCUCUAACACACGUUAAACCACGGGUUAUUAUCCCAUGGAUUUUUUUAAUAUUUUCAACCAAUAUGAAUAAAGUUAAUCCAAUGGAUAAAAGUCUCAACCCGUUAUCUCAAAUGUCAUCUUUUAAAAAGUUGACAUGAUCUUGACUGAUUGAUUUGUUGCUCUAUAUAUUAAAAUAAUUAAAUCGACACAUAUUUGCAUAUCGUAUUAAAUAACGUACAAAAUAAUAAAUGCCGAUGUAUAAUUAUAGAAAAAUAUAAACAACCAAUAAAGAAUAUAAAUAUCUUGAAAAAAAUAUAUAAUGCUAUAAAUAAUUAAAAUUAUACUAUGCAGUAAAAAAUUACAGUGUUGUGCUGUGUACAUAUGCAAAUGACUAUGCAAAAAUAUUAAAAUAAUAAUAAACUUAUAAAAAUUCUAAAAUUUACAAAAUUAAAAAUAAUUAUCAUUAAAUUAUGUAAAAAUUAAAAUGUGACAAAAAUUGAUGAAAAAUCUUAAAAUAAUGACGAUGAUCAAUAAAUUGUUAAAAAUUAGAAAAAAUGUGUGAAAGUUUAUAUUUUGUGCCAUUUAACGAUCAAGAAGUCUAAAUGCAUUAAUUUCAUGUUUGGAGAGUCAAAAUUGGGUGUCAACAGUCGUCAACUGAGAAAUUUCUGUAUAUUUUUUUUAGAUUCUUUAGGGGCAGUUUUUUCUAUUCCUCACCUCAAACCCUACCCCACGACUUAAAUCACUCUAUAAGUAUUAUUUACUUGUCAUUUAUCAAUUUUUAAACGCUCAAUCUCCUCUCCACUCUCAAGUGAAAAGAAGUUAGGAUUUCUCCCCAAAACUCAUACUUUCAAGGCUAAUAUUUAAGUUGUCUCAAAUUUUAUUCAUAAAAAAAAGUAUGUAGAACGAUCCUUAUACUCACGGGCUUAACUAUGAUGUUUCCAUAAACUUCAAAAUUUUAUUUGGAGAAAAGACAUAUAGUCACCCCUCAAUUUGUCCAACUUUUCUAAAAAAGGCACCUAAACUAUACGGGCGUCCUAUUACCCCACGAAAAUUACAUAUACUGUUUGUAAAUAGGUCAUUUUGACCAAAAUUUUGUAAACACGCGUGAAUAAAAAAAUUAUUGAACCAACAAAUUAAAAAAUACUACGUAUAAUAAAAAGGUUCCCUUUUUUUCAUUUUGUAUUUUAGUAUUUUUUUUUUCUUCCUUUUCUUCCUUCUUCUCCAAAAGAAUAUCCCCAAAACAACCUUAAAAUGGUAAAACAACAACUCCAAAUAACUCAAAACCACAUGUGUUCCCAUCUGUUGCUAUUUAAUCACUCACCUCACUUGUAUAAGAAAAUUUAUUUGUGCCAAAUCAUUUUUGAAGGUCAUAUUUGACUCCAUUUUUACACACAAUUCAAAAGAUUUAUUAUUACUAAAUCUUUCUAUUUGCAUCUAGAAUAUUCUCAUAGAUUCCAAAUUUAUUUUAAAGGAGUAUCAUUAACUAAUGAAGUAAAAUGAAGAUUUUUUAAUUAAAUUUUAGAUAAUAUCUAGGAGGUCUUGGUGCCAUCCCUCAAUUUAGAGAGAUGAAAGUGGAGCUCAUAAAUUUUUUGAUUUUUCGAGUUUGUUGAUAGCUGCAUUGUAAUAUUCAAUACCACUAUCACUAUAUUUUUCUUCAUAAUUGACUUUAAAAUUGCUGCUUCUUCCACUGAUUCCAAAAGAAAAGAACAAGAACGUGUGUGGGAUUUGGGCUGGGAGUAUUGGCUGACGUGAGGGGAAGGGAUUGUGUAAGAGGUCCAGAGGAAAAAUAGUGAAAAGAAUAAGAGAGAGAAAAAAAUAAAAGAGAAAAAUAAAAAAUACAUUUAAAAAUAAAUUAAUACAUGUCAAUCUGUGAUUGGUGUGUGUUUAACAUUUAUUUUUAAAAAGAUGGGACUGAUUUAAAAAGGAUGUAUUAAUAUCAUUUUAAAAUAAUUUAGGGGGAUAAUAGGUUCACCCGCAAAGUUAAAGUUUCUUUUUGAAAAUCUCGGACAAGUUUGAUGAUAUCUUUAUAUCUUUUCUCUUGUAUUUAUAUACAUAUGUUAUGAAUUUUAAAAUUGUUAAAGUGUAUGAAUUAUGAACUCCUUUUUAUGAUGAAAAUCAUGCAUUUAACUAGUGUUGUGGAAUAUUUAUUGAAUGAUGAAAAGGUUGAGUUUUAAACAUGUCUUUAACAAAUUAUAUAUUGUUUAUUUAUGUGGAUUCAAAGGAUGUUUCUUGUAUUUUUAAAUGCUCUUGUUUUCUCAAGGAGAGUAUAUGAAAUUAUGAAAAGAUGACCACCUUUUUGAGUUAUAUAAAUAUCUUUAAAAAAUGUGGUUUUGCCUAAACUUGCUCAUGGAUUUUUGUAAGAGAAUUUUUAUGUGAUAUUUGAAGUAUUAUGGUGGUCAAUGAUAUAUGUUUCGAAAGAAGGGCUAUGGGGAUGAUAUGAUUUUAUACGACUUUCAAGUCUAGAUAUGACGAUACUUUUUAUGGGAUGCUCUUGAAAGAAUAAGAGAUGAACUUUUAUAAGAAUGAAGCAUGAUUUGAAGAGGCUAAAAAUGCGCUUUAAUAGAGUUAGAUGGUUAACCAAGAAGAUGUGAGUUGAUAAGAUUACAACCCAAAAAUUGUGUUCUGCUGAUGCGUGGAUUGACUCAGUCCUGAAUUACGGAUGGUCAAUGUAUAAUUGCCUCAGGCUUUGGUAUACUAAAAUAAAAGGUAGAGAAUACAAUCCUUACAGAAAACUUGGAUUUGGGGGCUUGGUUGAUGAGUUAAAGUCGAACCAUAUACCCCGAGGAUAGUAAAAAGGUCGAGAAUAGCAUCUAGCUCAGAAUUAAAAAAAAGUUGAGUCUAUCUUUUUACGGGAUCGAUUGAAGCUUUUGAAUUAUGCCCAUGUACUUUUAUUUCUAUUUUUGUUAAACUAUUUUUAUAAUGCUCUUAUUUAUUUUGUAUAUAAUAUAUGUUGUUUUGGGGUAAUUCGACAUGCCAAUACAUUUCAAGUAUUGACCGUCUUCGUACGAUUACAUCAUCUCAUAUUGAAGGUUCUGUGGCUCAAUCCAGUGGUCCAUCAUAGCAGUAGAACUAUUUGAAGCAUCAGAGUUGGCGAGCCUCCAUCUUCAAAAAGGAAUUUUAUUUAUAUGUUCAUUACCAGUGGCCUUGUCCCGACCUAGAUAGUUAUUCUUCAGUCAAGGCUUCGUAGACUAAAUUUGAUUAACCUUUUUGUUAUGACUCCAUUGAUGGAAUUAUCUUAUAAGAUAUCUUGAACUUAAUUAUGCUUAUGUUAGUAUGCUAUGAUGUCUCUCGAAACUUCAUGGUUCGGAAUGCCCAUCGCAGUCAGGGCCAGAAAUCAAAUCUUGACAUACUUGGUAUCAAAGCACGGUUCAGAAUCCCAGGGUAUCUAUGAAGUCACGUUGAUUAGAGUCCCUUUUAUGGGUUUGUAGCAUGCCACACUUAUUGGAGGGAGGAUAUGAGGCCUUGAUGAAAUUUUUCUCAUUCUUUCAUUCUCUAGAUCAUGUAAUAGUGUUGUCCAUAUGAAAGUUAUCCAAAUUUCCUCCUUGCUCUAAUUUUUUGGGUUGUGCCUCAUUGUCGAGGUGAUGCAAGUGCAAAAACUUAGAUUCCUAACGAUGUGAUCCCUUCCACUGAGUCAUCAAAAAGUUAGGAAACCGUACGAGUACUUGAAAGGAGUCUAUUAGUGCAUCUAAGUUUAUGGAUUCAAGGUAUACCUCUAUCUUCAUGAAUCAUACGUUUUAGCUUAAGUUAAGAGGCGUAUCUAAUCCCUUUCAAAAACUUCAUUGCAUUCGUCUCACUUAAGGAGAAAGAUAUGUAUUCAAAUGUUGGGAUAGUAUUUACACCCAAGAGGUAUUAUAAAUUGAGGUAUUAUGACUUAUGACUAGUAAAAUGAUCUCAAGGCUAGUGAUACGAAGUCAUACAUUUAGAAGCCAGAAUGAGGGUAAAUUUUGAGUGAAUAAGGCAGUUAUACUCGUGUAACCAUUAAGUAAGUGUUGGGGUGGUAUGUUCUUAUGGUGAUUGGCUAUGAUCAUAGAAAGAAUUGCAGAUUUUAUGGUAGUUAGUAGAGGAAGUGAUUACUUAUGAUGAUUUAAAAUUUAUUUGAAAUAGGAAAGGAGCUCCUGAUGGAUAGUUAUUAUAGUACUAAAAAACCAAUCAUAGGUUUUGAAUAAAAGAAUAGACUGACUAAUAAUUUAUCAAUUUAGACUUUAAUUAUGAAAAUCUUAGGGAAAGGGGGACUCAGUGAUGCAUAGAAUUUUGAAGAUAUUUUAAAGGUAUGCCUAGAUAAGUAGAUGUGAUGUGAGAAAGGAGACUGUGAUACUAGAUCGUAAUGGGUUAUAUUAAGACUAAGUAUGACUAUCCUGAUUAUGUGGUCUUACUACACUGAGAUUCUCUAAUUUUUUUGUCUCGCAGUUGUAAGCUAGUCUAGUAGGUGAAAAGAUGUGUUGUAAAUUUUAAGGUAUAGUAUCAGUGUUGUGAAGAAGAUGUGCUUGUAGGUCGUAGUUAAGUGAAAUAAGAAAUUCAGAUUGAUCAAUUUGUCAUAAAUUUUGAUGGACUAGUACAAUUGUGGGAUAUUUCAUUGGCAAUUCAUGAUUGGUAAUAGAUGUUAUACUUGAACUUUAGAUGUUGAUUGUGGUAAUAAUAAUGUUAGCUCAAGGAUAGUAAUGCGGAUUUACGGGAGUAAAGUACUGCUUGAUUUGUUGUGUGAAAGAGCCUAGGCUGAUAACUUAUGAAAAAUUUGAGUUGGUAAUUGCGUUAUAUAUACAUGAGGACUUAGUGUUGAAACAACGAAUUGUACUUGUAGAUUUAAUAAUAGAGUAUGUCCAUAAGUCUAGGGUAGUGACCUAUGAGAUAAGGGGGUGAUUAUGAACUAAGAAAAAUCUUGAAUUUUCUCAUGGUGGUGAGUUUCAAGGAAGGCCAUGCUAAAUCUAUUAUUAUCUUAGUUAAUUCCUCUUACUUCGAUUUAAGAGGACAUUCUACCAAUGUCUUAUGUAUUCAAAUUGUGCCUAUGCCUAAGGUCCGAGUUCUCUAUACAACUUAUGUCCAUGCUCCAACCUCUAAACUAGAAGCAAUAACGUUUCUCAGCAAUCUGAGCUUCCAAGUGUUCAAGUUUUAUGUUAUGACACUCAUGAUCCGUAAACUCAUAUCUCACUUUAUACUUAGUUCUAAGAAACUAUACUCUCUAUACAUUACCGACUAAUUAUAUGUCAUGUCUUAGCCCAAAGUAAUGUUAUCUAUGCAAACUAAUGACCAUUCUCAGUUCUUAGAUGAGAAACAAUAGCUUCAAGCGAUAAUACUUGUCUUAUUCAUUGAAAAUAUGAAUCUCGACUUUAUGUUAUAUGACUCAUGAUAUAUGCACUCAUGUUCCUCACUAUGCCCAGUUCUAAGAACCUAUGCUAGCUUAUGAUUAUGCCUGACCGUCUACUUAUGAUCUAGGUGUUUACUAUGAAGUAUUUUGUGCCUAGUAUACCAUAUCUCACUUCGCAUGUCUCACCUUAAAUGGUACGAUAAAUAAGAGUCAUAAUUGAGCAGUAUCACCCUCAUUCCUAAUUCUUGUACUCUAGUUUCUCGCUGUCCCUACUUAUGUUAGGAUGAUAGUGGUUAUGGAAGCAUAGUAAUGUUUUAGAUAAGAGAAUAGAUAUUUUUUAGUGUGGCUACUCGGGCUAAGGUUAUAGAUAAAAAAGGGAAGAGUGAGAUGAACUUUUGUUAUAUGAAAUAGUUAGGAAGGGGAGACGUGGUGAAAAUCUUUGUGAUUAUGAUUGAAGUUGCUAAUUUUUGGUGGAGAGAUUCAUAAAGUGGGUGUGGUAAAGAUAUGCUUGAAUGUUGUGAUUGAUACAUACAUAAACUAUGUGGCUAGUACUCCUUGAGUAAGACCUGAGGGUGUUUGAUUAUUGUGAAAAGAUAAAGUAGUAUUUUUGGAGGAGUGUAUAGUAUAAGGUCCCAUAGCUAAGUUAACACCUUUUAACUCCGAAUUAGGUUUCAACAUUGGAGAAAUAUGCAGUUAGACUCAUGCUCUUGUAGUUACGUGUUUCACAAAGAAAUUAUAAUAUAGAAAUGGUGAAGUGUGGUUUUCAUAGCUGAAAGCAUUGUUAGGAAACGUCGCUAAAUUUAAGGGCUAUUAGACGUUUCAUUUGAGGUAGAGAAUGCUUCUAUUCUUAAGUCCCUCAAAAAUUUUAUUUCAUGUCAAGCAUCAAUAUAAAUCAGUAUCAAUGAUUACAAAAUCAGUUUAUGUCUUAUGUUGUUAUGAUCAUAUUCUAUAGAGCUUAUGUCCAAGCUCAUCUAUGUGCCAAGUCUCGUUAACUCGUGAUUAGUGCUUACACAGUUUACUUGGUAUUGUUAUGAAGCUCUUUUUGCCUAUGUAUGUCUUGUUGAUGGAGAAUUCCUAAUUUGAAGUUACAUCCUUUAUUCUAUACUUCUAGAGCUUUAAUAAGUUCCUAUACAUCAUUCAAGGAUGAAAGAUCCCAAGUGGGAGAUAAUGUAACACCCCACAUUUUUGGGUUAAAAUUCGAACAAUCAAUGUAACACCCCACAUUUUUGGGUUAAAAUUCGAACUAUCAUUCUAUGUGUAUGGACCCGAAAAGUGUGAUAAUCAAUUCUAGAGUGUGGUAACAUCUUUGGAGAUGAAAUAAGGUCAUAAAAAUCUCAUAACUCAGAGUUUAGUUGUGAAAUUUUAUGUCGAUUUUUAGUAGACGUUCCUACAUGGGUCAAUUUUCAAUCACCAUUACUCCUAGAAUAAAACUAUUUAGGUAGACUACUAUAUACUAAAUGAUCUUCGAGUCUUCUUUCUAAUGAAUCUGAUUUCAUCUUAAUUUGAUAUCAGAGUACAAAGUUAUGCUCAUUUUCCCUGUGAAUGUAUGUCUGCCAAAGAUUGACAAUGGGAAUUGAUGAGCCGUCAGCUAUUUGAUGGGAUGUCAACGGAAGUCGUCAACCUUAGGUAGUAAAGCUCAAAAUCUGCUAGAAGUUGAUGAUGAGAGUUGACGAGCUGUCAACUGAAGUCAUCCACCUUAACCAGUAAAGACCAAAGAUGGCUAGAGAGUCAUUAAUUCUUUUUACUUUCUUUAGGAUUAUUUUGGUUUUUUCUCACAUCAAAUCCUACCCCACGACUUAAAUCACCUUGUAAGCAUUAUUUACUCAUCGUUUAUCAAAUUUUCAAUGCUCAUUCUCCUCUCCACUCUCAAGAGAAAAUUAAAGAAUUUAGGGUUUCUCCCCAAAACUCAUACUUUCAAGGCUCAGAUUCAAGUUGUCUCAAAUUUUAUUCCUAAGAAAAGGUAUGUAGAACGAUCCUUAUACUCAUGGGCUUAACUAUGAUGUUUCCACAUACUUUAAAAUUGUAUUUAUAUAAAUAUGUUAUGCAUUUUAAAAUUGUUGAAGAGUAUAAUUAUGAACCUCAUUUUAUGAUGAAAAUUAUCAUUUAACUAGUGUUGUGGGAUAUUUAUUGAAUGAUGAAAAGGUUGAGUUUUAAAUACGCCUUUAACAAAUUAUAUAUAGUUUAUUUAUGUGGAUUCAAAGGGUGUUUCUUGUAUUUUUAAAUGCUCUUAUUUUUUCAAGAGUGUAUGAAAUUAUGAAAACAUAACCACCUUUAUGAGUUAUAAAGAUGUCUUUCAAGAGUGGUUUUACCUAAACCCGCUCAUGAAUUUUUGAAAGAGCAUUCGUAUGUGAUAUUUGAAUUAUUAUGGUAGUCAGUAAUAUAUGUUUCGAAAGAAGGGCUAUGGGGAUGCUAUGAUUUUAUAUGGCUUGUAAAUUUAGGUAUGACAAUACCUUUUACGGAAUGUUCUUGAAAGAAUAGGAGAUGAACUUUAAUGAGAAUGAAGCAUGAUUCUAAGAGGCUAAAAAGGGGCUUUAAGAGAGUUAGAUGAUUAACCGAAAAGAUGUGAGUAGAUAAGCUUAUAGUCCAAAAUUAUGUUCUGUCGAUGUGAGAAUUAAUUCAGUUCCGAAAUAAGGAUGGUCAAUGUAUACUUACCUCAGACACUGGUACACUAGAAUAGACUGUAGAGACUCCAAUCGUUGCGGCAAAUUAGAUUUGGGAGCUUGGCCGACAAGUUAAAUUGAAGAAAAAAGUUGAGUCUAUAUUUUUAAGAGAUUGAUUGAAGCUAUUAAAUCAUGCCCGUGUAUUUUGAUUUCUAUUUUUGUUAAAUUAUUUUCAUAAUGCUUUUGUUUAUUGUAUAAAAUAUAUGUUGUUUUUGGGUUGUUUUACAUGUCAAUAUAUUUCAAGUAUUGUCCGUCCUUGGACGGCUAUAUCGUCUCAUAAUGUAGGUUAUGAGGCUCAAUCUCGUGGUCCAUCACAAUAUUAGAACCUUUCGAAGCAUCAGAGUUGGUGAGCCUCCAUCUUCCUUAAGGUGUUUUAUUCAUAUGUUCAUUUCUUUCAGUUUAUGAUCCGACGGGGGUCUUGUCCUGACCUAGACAGUUAUUCUUCAGUAGAGGCUUCGUAGACUAGAUUUGGUUAACGUUUUUGUUAUGACUUUAUUGAUGGAGUUUUCUAAUAAGAUAUCUUGAACUUCAUUACAUCUUCUGCAUUUGAUAUGAAUUGUGCUUAUGCUACUAUGUUAAGGGGUCUCUCAAGUCUUUGGGUUUCGAAAUGCCCGUCGCGAAUAGGACCGUGACUCGAAUAGUGACAUCUAACUUAGCUAAUUUUGAAAGAAUCCAAUAUUGAAUCAUUAUAUUUCUUGUCUAUCACAUUUAGAGGAAGAGUUUUCAAUAUAAAACAAUGAAAAAAUCGCAUAAGUAUACAAUUUAAGAGUCAAUAUUACAAAACAUACCAACAUUAUUUUUUAUUUAUAAAAUAUAAUUUUUAUUUGCAAAAUCUAUCAAACUAUUUUUCUGACCCCUUUCUUACAUUCUUCUCUCUUACAAAAAUAAAAAAAAAUAAAAAAAAAAACACUUCCUUUCCUUUCUCCUCAAAUACCCAAAACCUAAUCCGAAAUUCCAAAUCCAAAUUAAACGUCACUGCAUUUACAAAAAAAUUAGUACAUCAGAUAAAUUUAACAGUUUAUCAUGGAAGCAGCCACCCUUUAAUGCGAAAAAACUUUAGGCAACAUGAACUUGAUCCAAUCAAAGCAUCAACCUUUAGGCAGCGUUGGUUUCUUAGAAGUCUUUUUUAAGUUGUGGGAAGACUUUUUUUUCCCAAAACCAUGUGUUAAUUGUUUUCAGGAACAUCUUUUAAACUCCGAAGAACAUUAAUCAAAAUCAUGGCCUCACUAUCUACUUCCUUAAUUUCACUUUCGGACGAUGCUGGCACUGGCAUUGCCGACUCAGUUACCCAACCAUCCAUAUCAUUCAUAACUUUGAAACUUUUCUUUGAAAUUCUUUCCCCAUCAUUACCAAUUUCAACAACACUGCCACAAGCAUCAUUGUUCUCGUUGGUAUCUCUAAUUGUAUAAAAAUUGGUGUUUCUAUAAUUUUGUGGUGCAUGAAUUGUAUAGAAAUUUGUGUGUUAACAGUUUUAUGGUGUCUGAAAUAUUUAGAAAUUGAUGUAUGAAUAAUAACAUUUUUUUGAACUAUUUAUAAAAUGGUGUUUCAAUAAUAAUAAUUUUAUGGUGUCUGAAAUAUAUAAAAAAUUUUGUUUCAAUAAUUUUAUCGUAUUUAAAAUGUAUAGAAAUAGGUGUAUGAAUAAUUUUAUAGUGUCCGAAAUAUAUAGAAAUUGGUGUAACUGUAUAUUCUGUCUAGAUGUUAACGUUAAAUAAAAUGCUAAAUAAUUUGUUAUAACAUGUUAAAUUACUAAUUGCAUUAAAAAAAAAAGAGUAAAAGAGUAUUACGCUACCACUAUUACGUAAACCCCCGUUCUAAUUAGGGUUUUAUCAUAUAUUCACUAAAAAAAAUUAAAAGGUUAUAUUUAUUGGUGUCUUUUUACAUAUUUUGGAGUGUGUAUGUUAAUUUUAUUGCAAUAAUUUUAAUUUUUUUCCCAAAAUAAUUUUAUUAAUAUAUUAGGAAAAAUUAUUGGAAAGAAUACCAAUUAUUCUUUAUCCAAUUUUGAUAUCUUUAACUUUUUUUUUUUUUUUUUACCUUAUUUCAUAAAUUUUGUUACUUUUCCAUUGGUAUAUUUUGAAAAGUUGAAACCAUUGAUAGAUUUUGUAAUAUUGACUCUUACAUUGUAUAUUUAUGUGAUUUGCCCAUAAACAAUUAUGAGUGGCUAGGGUUUUGAAGAGUUUAAAUAAGAUAGCAGAUUAUAACACAAACUACUUAAUUAUUCCAUUUUUAUGUCUAUAAUAACUAGAUAGCCCGUGCCAUAUUGUUUGUUAUUUGUUUAUUCGCAAUAUUAUCGUACAAAAGAAAUUUAACUUUCAGGAAGGUAACUUCUUAUUUGUUUAAUUGUUUUGAAGAGCUUUCUUGUUGUACAAAUCAAGAAAGCUUUGUACCAUUUUAAUGUUGAUUUUCUGUGACUUGUAAUAAAUACAUAUUCCUUCAAAAAUUUACUAUUAAAGUAUUUAAAUAACAAUAAGACUAAUUGGGUAAUCCAUAUGUAAUAAACCUCAGCCUCAAAAGGUUUGAACUAAUACAUAAACCUACAUAUUCCUUCCUAGAAGAAAAAAAAAAUUAUGGUUAAUAUUAACUUAAAUUAAAGGUGUCAAAUGGGUCGGGUUAGGCCAAACCGGAACCGAACCGUUUAGUUUAACCGGUUGUGGGUUGGUUCCGGUCCGGGUUGGGGUUAGGUGGGCCGGGCCGGCUCCGGGUUAAAAUGUUGAAAACAACUCUGAACCGGCCCACUUAAUCCAACCCGAUUAAACCCACCUAAGCCCGAUUAAAAACCGGUCAAAUCCGGUUUAAAAAAAAUGAAAAAUCCAACAUACACUACAUACACUACAAUAAUAUACACUAUAUACACUUCAAUACACACUAUAUACACUACAAUUAUACAGUAUAUAUUUUUUAAAAUAUAUAUAAAUAAUUACACAUAUAUACGUAUCAUUCAAUAUAUAAUUAUAUAUGACUAUACGUACUACUUUAAAUAAAACAUAUACUACAAAUCUACAAUAGUACAAUAUAUAUAUAUACACUACAAUAUAUAUAUAUAGUUAUAUACUAAUUUAUAAAACAUAUACACAUUUAUACGUUAAAUAUAUACGCUUAUAGAAGAUAUAUACACAUAUAUACACACCAUUCAAUAUAUAUUUACUGCUUUAAAUAAAAUAUAUACUACAAUAUACAUAUAUAUAUACAACAAUAUGCAUAUAGAUAUAAUUACAGACUAAUUUAAAGAACAUAUACACUUGUAUACGUUAAAGAUAUACGUCUAUAGAAGAUAUAUACACAUAUGUACGCACCAUUCAAUAUAUAUGUACUACUUCAAAUAAAGUAUAUACUACAAUAUAUAUAUAAAUNNNNNNNNNNNNNNNNNNNNNNNNNNNNNNNNNNNNNNNNNNNNNNNNNNNNNNNNNNNNNNNNNNNNNNNNNNNNNNNNNNNNNNNNNNNNNNNNNNNNNNNNNNNNNNNNNNNNNNNNNNNNNNNNNNNNNNNNNNNNNNNNNNNNNNNNNNNNNNNNNNNNNNNNNNNNNNNNNNNNNNNNNNNNNNNNNNNNNNNNNNNNNNNNNNNNNNNNNNNNNNNNNNNNNNNNNNNNNNNNNNNNNNNNNNNNNNNNNNNNNNNNNNNNNNNNNNNNNNNNNNNNNNNNNNNNNNNNNNNNNNNNNNNNNNNNNNNNNNNNNNNNNNNNNNNNNNNNNNNNNNNNNNNNNNNNNNNNNNNNNNNNNNNNNNNNNNNNNNNNNNNNNNNNNNNNNNNNNNNNNNNNNNNNNNNNNNNNNNNNNNNNNNNNNNNNNNNNNNNNNNNNNNNNNNNNNNNNNNNNNNNNNNNNNNNNNNNNNNNNNNNNNNNNNNNNNNNNNNNNNNNNNNNNNNNNNNNNNNNNNNNNNNNNNNNNNNNNNNNNNNNNNNNNNNNNNNNNNNNNNNNNNNNNNNNNNNNNNNNNNNNNNNNNNNNNNNNNNNNNNNNNNNNNNNNNNNNNNNNNNNNNNNNNNNNNNNNNNNNNNNNNNNNNNNNNNNNNNNNNNNNNNNNNNNNNNNNNNNNNNNNNNNNNNNNNNNNNNNNNNNNNNNNNNNNNNNNNNNNNNNNNNNNNNNNNNNNNNNNNNNNNNNNNNNNNNNNNNNNNNNNNNNNNNNNNNNNNNNNNNNNNNNNNNNNNNNNNNNNNNNNNNNNNNNNNNNNNNNNNNNNNNNNNNNNNNNNNNNNNNNNNNNNNNNNNNNNNNNNNNNNNNNNNNNNNNNNNNNNNNNNNNNNNNNNNNNNNNNNNNNNNNNNNNNNNNNNNNNNNNNNNNNNNNNNNNNNNNNNNNNNNNNNNNNNNNNNNNNNNNNNNNNNNNNNNNNNNNNNNNNNNNNNNNNNNNNNNNNNNNNNNNNNNNNNNNNNNNNNNNNNNNNNNNNNNNNNNNNNNNNNNNNNNNNNNNNNNNNNNNNNNNNNNNNNNNNNNNNNNNNNNNNNNNNCAACGGUUGACAUUGAAACGUUCAAGAUAUCUCUAGCUAAUCUUGAAAGCACAGGAUAUUGGGAUUCAUUAUUCCUCCACCAAUCCAACGUGUUGAUCCGUCGUCUGCGAUCCUUUGGCGGCGACCGAAGAUAAUACUUAAGCUCUUUCCGAUAAGUUGAUAUGUAAGCUCCCUCGUCAAUACUGUUCCAACAGGGUAAAUCAUAAAAGGAAUCAGGAAAAUCAUAAUGUGCCUGCCUUUUAGAAAAUGACGGCACCUCAGGAGGAUGAGGAGUGACAGUUGGACUGAUAUGUGUCGGUACAGCUAAAUCAACUAAAUCAGCAUAGUGGUUAUAUAAUUUAUCUAUGUAAGCAUUCGCAUCAGACGUAGCCGUCUACAAAUCAGGUUGUGCUUGUUCAGAAUCAUUGUUAGUAUUUAUUUCUAAGUUAUGAUAAAUAAGAAUACUAAAGUGGCACAUAGUAUGGUAUUUAAUGGACGGAUUUAGCAUAGCACCAACCAAGAAAAUAGGGGGAAUCGGAAAAAAAUAUUUUUAAAAUUUAGUAAACAUGGCACCAAUAACAUUUUCAUAACCUUCUUUAUUUUUAUAUUCUUUGAGAAAACCAAAAAUAUUGGUUAUAUAUCCCACAAUAUUACAAACCGCAGGAUAAUAAGCACCGAAAAAUUCAACCGUAGCUAAAUAAAUUUUUUUCAAAAACUUAACAAGAUCAUUAAUUACAACCCAAUCAGAAUCAAGUAGCAUGCAAUCGGCAGAAUCAGCAAAUGAACCACAAUGUUGGUUAAAAGCUAAUGUAAUAGGAACUCUAUAUUUAUAACAAGUUUUUAAAAAAUCAUACGUAUAAUUCCAUCUAAUAUCAAUUUCCUCAUGCAUCAAUAUCGGUGCAAGUCCAUUUUCUUGACAUUUAACUUUAAAUUCUUUAAUUCCCGAUCUAUGAUUAUUUUCUUGUAUAAAACCAGCAGCAAGACGGAUUUUUUCAAUAUAAAUCUCAAAAAACUCAAAACCAUCUUUUACAAUUAAAUUAUAUAUAUGACAUGCACACUUAAUAUGAAAAAUUUCAGGUAACGGCGGUGAUAGCUUAGAUUUCAACUUUGUUAUAGCAGUCUUGUUGUUAGAAGCGUUAUCAAAAGCGGUACAUAAGAUUUUAUUUUCGAUACCAUAAAAUGAUGCAACUUUAUGUAUCGAGUCAACAAUAAAUUGUCCAGUAUGUUUACGAUAUUCAUCAUAUAAAAAAGCAAGAAUACAUUUUUGCAUCACAAAAUUACUAUCCAUCCAGUGACAAGGAACGGUUAAAUAAUCAUUUUUAUUUACAGCACGACCAAGAUCAGAAGUUAGGGAUAUUCUACAUUGAAUAUUUUUUAACAAUGUAGAUAAAUAAAAAUAAUAUUGUGAAUGAAGUCUAAAAAUAUCAGACCGACAAGUACUUCUAGGAAUACCAUUAAACAUAGGAUUAUAAAUUGCUUGAAUAUAAUGAAUAAAAGCAUCAAAAGAAGGAAAACUAAAAGGCAAACAAUCUACAACUACCAUUUUUGCUAUUUCUUCUCGGUCCCUCAGUUUAUUAUACUUCUUCAUUACGUGAUCGGUUGUUGGGUCCAUUCUAGUUUGUGUGGGCCUACCAACAGCCUCACCAUUUUGUGCAAUUUUUAACUCUCUUUCGUGGUCUUCAGCUAAAUGUCUCAUUAACGUACUUGUACCCCCUUGCUUGCCUCCUCUUUUAUGCUUAUAUAUUUUUUGACAAAUAUUGCAUUGCACCUCAGUGUCUGAUAUACGUUCAAAAAAUUUCCAUGCAACACUAGUUUGUUUACGAGCUCUUGGGGAACGGGGAGGACUAGUUUGUUUACGAGCUCUUGGGGAACGGGGAGGACGGGAAGAGAGAUUAACCGAUUCGGAUCUAACAUUAACAUUUCCUACUUCGGGUGUCUCACUAAUAUUUUCAUCAUCUUCAUCUAAAUCAACCGCAUCUACUUCAUUUUCUUCUUCUAUACCGUAAUUUUUCUGAACUUCUAAAUAAUCCAUAUCGUGAGCACCUACACCUGUUUCUUCCUCAAAAGGUUGACUAAGUGGUACCGGAGGCGAAGACACACGGGUAUAUCUAGUACUUGAAGUACNNNNNNNNNNNNNNNNNNNNNNNNNNNNNNNNNNNNNNNNNNNNNNNNNNNNNNNNNNNNNNNNNNNNNNNNNNNNNNNNNNNNNNNNNNNNNNNNNNNNNNNNNNNNNNNNNNNNNNNNNNNNNNNNNNNNNNNNNNNNNNNNNNNNNNNNNNNNNNNNNNNNNNNNNNNNNNNNNNNNNNNNNNNNNNNNNNNNNNNNNNNNNNNNNNNNNNNNNNNNNNNNNNNNNNNNNNNNNNNNNNNNNNNNNNNAAAAUUAAAGUGAGUACUUUAGAAAUUAAAUAUAUAGAAUAUUUGAGAAUUGAGAAAUGAGAUUUGAGUGAGAAUGAGAUUUGAGACUUGAGAGGAUGAAAAAUUGUGUGAAAAAUGAUUUGAAAGUGUAGGGUAUUUAUAGAAAUUUUUUUGGGAUUAAAAAAUGAUUUUAAAUAAAAAUAAAUCUUUUUUUUUUAUAUUUGGGCCCAAACUAGCCGUUAUAGCCGUUGGACCAAUGGCUUGUUUGGCCCAAUUUUCCAAAAUCUUAAAAAAAAAUAAAAAAAAUUAAAUGGGCUUAUUUGGGCCGGGCCGAGCCGGUUAACCGGCGGGCCCUAACCAGGUUGAGUCCUGUCUGGGUUAACUAGGCCCAAAUUCAAAACCCAACCGGACCGGGACCCGGGCCCUUAAAGCCCUUGGGCUUACCGGGCUGGGUCAAACCGGUCCGGUUUCCUUUAGUGGACUGGUUCGGGCCAGUUAAAACCGGCCCGUUUGACACCCUUAACUAAAAUUCAGGACCUUCUUACUUUUAAUUCCUCAUUUCUGCCUAGACAUAUAAGAGUUUGACCAAAGAUGUGCAUAUCUUUUAACCUAGAUUCACCAUGACCAAGGACCUCCAAUGAAUUCAUUCGUGCAGCAGGAGCAUAAUCAUAGUCUCUAUCAUCACCACUACCUCUCUCUACAUAUGCUGCUGGAGUAUAGUCGUAAUGUGGACUUGUUUAGACACGUUUGGAAGUAUGUUAUGUUACAAGAAGAAUGUGCACAACCAUAUACUGGGCUGCCACGUCAAAAAUUCACUUUAAAUGUAAUCAUAUUAUUCUUUGUAUAUCCUGGUAGAUAUAGAAUCAUACGAACAUGACUUAAGUUGUUUAGAUUCUGCAAAAAUGAUACUGUAUUCAUGUUAAAUUUUUUAAAAUUGUACUAUUUUUAGAGAAUUAGACACACGUCUAAUGAUACUUUUAACGAAUCCAACCAACAUAGAAGACAUCUUCUUUUGAGAUCCAAUUAUCUUGAAAAUGGUAGACAUUCGAUAUGAUCAUCUUGGAAUAUAGAAAUAUUAGAUAGACAAGUGUAUGGUUCUAAAGUUGUGUUUUCUAUUUUAAGGCCUAAUUUCCCUCUACUCCAACAAUCCAACUUCUCCAUCCUCUCCUAUAUAUAUAGAUGAGUGAUUGUCCUAAAAUUUAUUAAUUAGGGUCAUAUACAUCUUCUGCAACAUAUAUAUUUUUAAAAGUAAAUGCACCUUCAUAAUAUUAUUAUUUUUUUCUCCAUCAACUUAUAUUUCUUUGUAUACAUGUUUUAAUUAAUCAUCAACUUUUUAGUUUUAUGUUUUACAGGAUGAUGAUGGGUUCAAGAUCACUUCAACUUUUUAUCUUGUUUGUUUGUUCUUUGACCAUCACCGCAAUUGAAUGCUCAGAAUGUUCAGAAGUAAAAAAACAAAACCCAAAUCUUUAUAAUAUAACGAGAACAAUAGUUCAUAGCGCCUUGUCAAAAGGAGCAGGUUAAUUAAUUAUUAAUAUCUUUAUUUAUAUGUAAAAAUAAUUUCAUAUUUGAUGAGAUAUAUAUUCCAAGAAUAAAUUUGAUAUUAGAUUUACAUUAUAUAUAUUUAAAUUUAACAUUAUUUAUUUGGCAGUGUGCUUGGAUGGAUCACCUCCAGCAUACUAUUUUGAUCCAGGAUUUGGAGAUGGAGUUGAUAAUUGGAUUGUCCAAAUUUCUGUAAGCAGGCUAUAACAUAUGUUUAAUUCUAUUAAUAGAGUAAAAAUAUAGAUAUGUAUUCUUUUACGUUUUAAAAAGAAUCAUCUAUUUUUCUUUUUAAUUUAUUUUAGAAAAUGAUCCUUUUCUUUUUGACAACACUUUGAUAUCAACUUUUCACGCAGUGUGUUUAAGACCACAAGAUUAAAAGACAUUUUGAACGUUUGACAUAACUUUAAUUUAAGAUCACAAAAUUUAAAAACUUUCUUUAUUUUUCUUAAAUUUUUUGUCAAAUUAAAAUAGGUCAUUCUUUUGGAAACAAGAGGAGUAUAUUGUUGUUUCAAAAAAUAUGUUCUCCCCUUUUCAAAAAGAAUGAUAUACACUUUUUUUUUAGUUCGUUUGAAAAAUAAUGACAUCUUUAAGAUCACAGGAUUAAAAGAUAUUUUAAUACAUACAUUUGACAUAACUUCAGUUUAAACCUACAAGAUUCAAUAGUCUUCAAUCUUUAUUUUUUAAAAUUUCGUAUCAAGUUAAAACAGGUCAUUUCUUUUAAAACGAAGAAAAUAUAUUAUUGUUUCAAAAUAUUUAUUAAACAACUUUGUUCAUAGGGAGGAGCAUGGUGUGUAAACGUCACAGACUGCAUAGGACGUACCAAGACACAACUUGGUUCAUCAAAAUAUAUGGAUAAACUAGAAUUUCAAGGAAUUCACAGCAAAAAUAAGAGUGCAAAUCCAGGUAUUUUUUGGAUUAAUAUAUCCUGAAAUUUUGACGAGUAUUUUAAGAAUUUAAGGAUAAUUAAUCCUAUUUAUGAUCAUUUUUAUGUAAAAUAUGCAGAUUUUUACAAUUGGAACAAAGUCAUUCUUGCAUAUUGUGAUGGUGGAUCGUUCGUAGGAGAUGUUGAAUAUGUUGAUUCAGUAUGUUUUUUAUUCAAAGAUAUAAUUUUCAAUUUCACUUUAAAAUAUUUGCUUUUAAUUGUUGCAAGUAAAUUAUCACUACCUUAUAUUUUUCUUUGUUUAGGCUACCAAUCUUCAUUUUAGAGGGAAAAGGAUCUUUUAUGCAAUAUUAGAGGAGUUGCUAGAAAAGGGAUUAAAGAACGCCAAAAAUGUAUGUGACUAUCUCAUUUAGUUCUGUAUUUAUAUAAAUAUGUAACACCUUAAUUUAAUAUUAUUAUCGCGAUUUUUAUUUUAUAAAAAAAAUUAUUUAUGUACCUCAAUAUUUAUUUUGCUAUUACAGGCCCUCUUAGCUGGUGGUUCUGCCGGAGGAUAUCCAGCAGUAUUAUACUGCGAUAACUUUCGCGAUUCAUUGCCAAGUGCCGCUCGAGUUAAAUGUCUCAAUGAUUGUGGCUACUUUCCUCAUUUGUAAGACUUUAAUUUAAAUCAGACUUUUGAAGCUAUUGUAUUUAAAUAUUAUUUAAUAAAUAAAAAUGAAUCUAUCUAUCUAUCUAUCUAUCUAUCUAUCUAUCUAUAUAUAUAUGUAUAUAUAUAUAUANNNNNNNNNNNNNNNNNNNNNNNNNNNNNNNNNNNNNNNNNNNNNNNNNNNNNNAUUAUAUCUAUAUAUAUAUAUAUAUAUAUAUAUAUAUAUAUAUAUAUAUAUAUAUAUAUAUAUAUAUAUAUUUCAUCCAUUCUAUUAUAUUUUAUCCAUUCUAACUUUGAAUAUAUAUUUAUCUUUCUCAUAACAGCAAGAAUCCUGAACUCGAAAAAAAUUGGCACGUCAGAUUUUCAGGAGUUGCCGAAUUACAAGUAUAUUCUUGUCCCUUUCUUACAAGCUAAGUGCUAAAUAAAUUAUUUUUGUUGGAUUCGAAAUCGAUUAGGCGUCAUGCAUGCGAAAAUUAAUGUAUAGUGUAAUAAGGAAUUCUAGAAAAGAAGAUUGAGACUCUCUCCACGGUCCCACGAAGAUCUCUACAUACUUAUUCAGGACAAGUGAAAUCUUUGAUCUGCGUAUCUAGGAGUAACUCAAACAAAGAAGAGUGCGACAGAUCGAUUAGCUCCGAUGAUUGAGGGAGAAUAUAUGUAAGAGAUGAUUUACAGACAAAAGUAUUCAAUUAUUUGAAAAAAAAUCAAUAUACUUCUCAAUAAUGCAUUCGGUCAAACUUUUUUUUGGUGUCAAGGUAUUAGUAUAUAUUUCCUAAUACAUCUACUCCUAAAUAAUAAUUUAUAUUCUAAAUUAAUAGAGAUUAUUGUUUCCUAAAACCUCUUUAAACAUGUGAGUUGCAGGGAGCUGCCCAAUCAUUACCUAAAUCAUGCACUUCAAAAAUGAAACCAGAAUUGGUAUAAACUUUUAAUUCCUUAUUUAAUUUAUAUAUAUAUAAGUUAAAUACUUUUUUCUUGAAUGUUUUGUAAUCUUCCAAUUUGCUGCAGUGCCUCUAUUCACAGAAUAUUCAACAAGAUAUCAAGACACCUCUUUUUAUUUUCAUGUCAGCAUAUGAUAAUGUUGAGGUCGGUAAUUCAUAUUAUUAUUACUAUAUUUUUCAUCCUUUUUAUUUUCUCUAGUGUAAAAUCUAAUUUUGUGAUACUUCCACCGUUCAAAAUUAUUUGUCCAUCUUUUUUACUUGGCACACCCAUCAAGUAAAUAAUAGUAAUUGUUAUAUUGACUUUGCAUAUUACCCCUAUUAAUUGGUAGUAAUUGAAAUUUCAAAAAGUCUUUGUCAAUAAAUUGAAGGAUAAAACUAGAAAAAAAAUUAUUUUUCUUAGUGUAUAAAAAAUAUUAAGUAAAAGCGGAAAUAAAAAAUAGAAAUAAGUGAAAAAUAACUUUGAAAUUUCAAAAGUUUUUUUCACAAACAAAGUCUAUUUAAUAAGAUUAACUUUUAAGUAACAUUUAGGGAUCAUUUGGUGUGAGUUAUAAGGGAUAAGUAGUUUUGAAAUAAAAUGAAAAAUUAUUUUAUCUCAUGUUUAGUGUGUGAUAUUAGUUAGUAUCGAAAUUAUUUAUCCCAUCAUUUAUAUCAUAAUGAUUAAAUAAAUUAUUCCACAUAUAUGAAAGAAUAAUUAAUCUCAAAAUAACUAAUCUCAAAAUGAAUUAUUACAAAAUAAUUCUUUCCCAACGAAACGACCCUUACUAAAUUAAUGCUCCUCCUAAAUGAACUGUAUUUUUGCAGACAAAAUAUACAUUUGGAGAUUAUAUGGGUGGCCUCAUUGACGGUGGAAAAUGCUCAGCAAGUCAGAAUCAAAGCCUGAUAGGUUAGUAUACACAUGACCUACACAAAAAUUGACUUUAGUAGGUGUUUGGUAUAGAUUUCUUGAUCCGACAUCGUUCAAAAACAAUCACUUUACCUUUUUGAGGUAGUGAUAAAGAUCUAUGUCGUAUCUUUUAUCCUUUCAGAUCUCAUUUUUGAGGUUUUAGUGGGUAUAUAUUAUUAUUAUUGUUUUAUUAGAAGUUUAUAGAAAUGUGUUUGAUUAUACUUUUUACAAAAAAAUAUUUGGAACAAUAUCCGUGCUUGAAUGUAUUUUUAUACAAUUUAAAAAGUGAAAAAAUGAGGUAGAGAAAAUAGUUUAUAGCUAAUUGUUUUCGAUAUUUAUGAUACAACUUCAAGUUGAAUCUAAUAUUUUCAUAACUAAACAUUGAUUUUUAAAUUAAGUUAAAAUUAUUUCGGAAAAAAAUAAUACACCCUCUCAACUAUGUUAUACAGUUCAAGUUACACGAAUUUUUCACUUUCGAUGUCGCCAUUUAUGUUGGAUUCUUUAAUAAUACACGGACUCCUCGCAUUCGUGUUGAAUUCUUUAGAAAUAUAAUAAAUUUGACGAAUUCAACACACGCUGUUGAUAUGAUUAAAGAGUGCAAGCAACAUAAUAUAUAGUAAUAUUUCUAAUAUUUUUGGAUUUGACAUUUCAGAAAUGAGGUCAGAAUUCUUAAAUGCAUUACCCAAAGGAGAUAAUCCAAACUUAAGAGGAGUUUUUGUAGACUCAGUACAUCAUCAUAAUAGCCUUCUGCGGAGGUGGAUUCCUGAAACUGCCAUUAACGUAAAUGGUCAGGUAAGAUAUUAUUUAUUUAUUUAUAUUUGAAAAUAAAAUUUAUAAACUUAAAGUAAAGUGGUCAAAAAUAUUUUUAAUCUUUGCCAAAUACCUUUAAAAAUAAAUAAAAAAAUAUUUAUAAUCCAAAAACACUUAUAAAUAAGUUAAUUCAAGCACCAUUUAAAAAGCACUUGUUAAAAGAGAAAAACUUCUCAAAAUAAGCUGAUUUAUAAGUUCAUCCAAACAAAUUAUCAAUGAGUAAAUUACUAUUUUGACAGCGAGGCUUGCUAACUAUUUUGUUUUCCACUUUUGUUUGUUUGUGCAGCUUCACACAAAGGUAUUUGCUGAUUGGUACUUUGAUCGAAAAUACACCUAUUUGAUUGAUGAAACUAAUGAGUUGCCACUCACAAAUAAUGCUCGACUCAUAUGGCAAGUUGACAAUACAACUGGUCGAGUCAUAUAUACAGCAUAAACUUAUGUCUGUUUAAUUCCAAGAAAG